Molecule: long non-coding RNA, 57323 nt
Filed under: Brassica rapa (field mustard)
Lineage: Eukaryota; Viridiplantae; Streptophyta; Magnoliopsida; Brassicales; Brassicaceae
Source: RNAcentral
GCGAGAGUAGUACUAGGAUGGGUGACCUCCCGGGAAGUCCUCGUGUUGCACCCCUUUUUAUUUUUUAAUUUUUUUUUUAGCCUAAAACGAGUCUAAACUUGAAAACCCCAUAACUUUUGAACCGUGAGGAACUACGUCGCCCAUAGCACCAUUUCGGAAAGCCCCAGAAACCAUAAUGGGCGGUGAAUAGGGGGCGCAAUUUUUCGGGCUCAAAUUCAGCCGUUUUGACCCUCAAACGGGCUGCGGAAAGUUAUGGCACGUAAAAAAGAUCGAAAGCGGAUUCUCAAGGUGUUUUUGAUGCUUUCUUAACGCCGUUAACCUCGAUGCACUUUUUCGCUCGAAACAAAACGGCAAGAAAAUCAUGCGCGCCCCACGGCCUUACACUUGGAUUGGCCGCGAAAAGGAUAUAUAGAAACGAGAGUGAUGUACUGUCGGGUGCGAUCAUACCAGCACUAAUGCACCGGAUCCCAUCAGAACUCCGCAGUUAAGCGUGCUUGGGCGAGAGUAGUACUAGGAUGGGUGACCUCCCGGGAAGUCCUCGUGUUGCACCCCUUUUUAUUUUUUAAUUUUUUUUAGCCUAAAACGAGUCUAAACUUGAAAACCCAUAACUUUUGAACCGUGAGGAACUACGUCGCCCAUAGCACCAUUUCGGAAAGCCCCAGAAACCAUAAUGGGCGGUGAAUAGGGGGCGCAAUUUUUCGGGCUCAAAUUCAGCCGUUUUGACCCUCAAACGGGCUGCGGAAAGUUAUGGCACGUAAAAAAGAUCGAAAGCGGAUUCUCAAGGUGUUUUUGAUGCUUUCUUAACGCCGUUAACCUCGAUGCACUUUUUCGCUCGAAACAAAACGGCAAGAAAAUCAUGCGCGCCCCACGGCCUUACACUUGGAUUGGCCGCGAAAAGGAUAUAUAGAAACGAGAGUGAUGUACUGUCGGGUGCGAUCAUACCAGCACUAAUGCACCGGAUCCCAUCAGAACUCCGCAGUUAAGCGUGCUUGGGCGAGAGUAGUACUAGGAUGGGUGACCUCCCGGGAAGUCCUCGUGUUGCACCCCUUUUUAUUUUUUAAUUUUUUUUUAGCCUAAAACGAGUCUAAACUUGAAAACCCCAUAACUUUUGAACCGUGAGGAACUACGUCGCCCAUAGCACCAUUUCGGAAAGCCCCAGAAACCAUAAUGGGCGGUGAAUAGGGGGCGCAAUUUUUCGGGCUCAAAUUCAGCCGUUUUGACCCUCAAACGGGCUGCGGAAAGUUAUGGCACGUAAAAAAGAUCGAAAGCGGAUUCUCAAGGUGUUUUUGAUGCUUUCUUAACGCCGUUAACCUCGAUGCACUUUUUCGCUCGAAACAAAACGGCAAGAAAAUCAUGCGCGCCCCACGGCCUUACACUUGGAUUGGCCGCGAAAAGGAUAUAUAGAAACGAGAGUGAUGUACUGUCGGGUGCGAUCAUACCAGCACUAAUGCACCGGAUCCCAUCAGAACUCCGCAGUUAAGCGUGCUUGGGCGAGAGUAGUACUAGGAUGGGUGACCUCCCGGGAAGUCCUCGUGUUGCACCCCUUUUUAUUUUUUAAUUUUUUUUUAGCCUAAAACGAGUCUAAACUUGAAAACCCAUAACUUUUGAACCGUGAGGAACUACGUCGCCCAUAGCACCAUUUCGGAAAGCCCCAGAAACCAUAAUGGGCGGUGAAUAGGGGGCGCAAUUUUUCGGGCUCAAAUUCAGCCGUUUUGACCCUCAAACGGGCUGCGGAAAGUUAUGGCACGUAAAAAAGAUCGAAAGCGGAUUCUCAAGGUGUUUUUGAUGCUUUCUUAACGCCGUUAACCUCGAUGCACUUUUUCGCUCGAAACAAAACGGCAAGAAAAUCAUGCGCGCCCCACGGCCUUACACUUGGAUUGGCCGCGAAAAGGAUAUAUAGAAACGAGAGUGAUGUACUGUCGGGUGCGAUCAUACCAGCACUAAUGCACCGGAUCCCAUCAGAACUCCGCAGUUAAGCGUGCUUGGGCGAGAGUAGUACUAGGAUGGGUGACCUCCCGGGAAGUCCUCGUGUUGCACCCCUUUUUAUUUUUUAAUUUUUUUUAGCCUAAAACGAGUCUAAACUUGAAAACCCCAUAACUUUUGAACCGUGAGGAACUACGUCGCCCAUAGCACCAUUUCGGAAAGCCCCAGAAACCAUAAUGGGCGGUGAAUAGGGGGCGCAAUUUUUCGGGCUCAAAUUCAGCCGUUUUGACCCUCAAACGGGCUGCGGAAAGUUAUGGCACGUAAAAAAGAUCGAAAGCGGAUUCUCAAGGUGUUUUUGAUGCUUUCUUAACGCCGUUAACCUCGAUGCACUUUUUCGCUCGAAACAAAACGGCAAGAAAAUCAUGCGCGCCCCACGGCCUUACACUUGGAUUGGCCGCGAAAAGGAUAUAUAGAAACGAGAGUGAUGUACUGACGGGUGCGAUCAUACCAGCACUAAUGCACCGGAUCCCAUCAGAACUCCGCAGUUAAGCGUGCUUGGGCGAGAGUAGUACUAGGAUGGGUGACCUCCCGGGAAGUCCUCGUGUUGCACCCCUUUUUAUUUUUUAAUUUUUUUUAGCCUAAAACGAGUCUAAACUUGAAAAACCCAUAACUUUUGAACCGUGAGGAACUACGUCGCCCAUAGCACCAUUUCGGAAAGCCCCAGAAACCAUAAUGGGCGGUGAAUAGGGGGCGCAAUUUUUCGGGCUCAAAUUCAGCCGUUUUGACCCUCAAACGGGCUGCGGAAAGUUAUGGCACGUAAAAAAGAUCGAAAGCGGAUUCUCAAGGUGUUUUUGAUGCUUUCUUAACGCCGUUAACCUCGAUGCACUUUUUCGCUCGAAACAAAACGGCAAGAAAAUCAUGCGCGCCCCACGGCCUUACACUUGGAUUGGCCGCGAAAAGGAUAUAUAGAAACGAGAGUGAUGUACUGUCGGGUGCGAUCAUACCAGCACUAAUGCACCGGAUCCCAUCAGAACUCCGCAGCUAAGCGUGCUUGGGCGAGAGUAGUACUAGGAUGGGUGACCUCCCGGGAAGUCCUCGUGUUGCACCCCUUUUUAUUUUUUAAUUUUUUUUUAGCCUAAAACGAGUCUAAACUUGAAAACCCCAUAACUUUUGAACCGUGAGGAACUACGUCGCCCAUAGCACCAUUUCGGAAAGCCCCAGAAACCAUAAUGGGCGGUGAAUAGGGGGCGCAAUUUUUCGGGCUCAAAUUCAGCCGUUUUGACCCUCAAACGGGCUGCGGAAAGUUAUGGCACGUAAAAAAGACCGAAAGCGGAUUUUCAAGGUGUUUUUGAUGCUUUCUUAACGCCGUUAACCUCGAUGCACUUUUUCGCUCGAAACAAAACGGCAAGAAAAUCAUGCGCGCCCCACGGCCUUACACUUGGAUUGGCCGCGAAAAGGAUAUAUAGAAACGAGAGUGGAUGUACUGACGGGUGCGAUCAUACCAGCACUAAUGCACCGGAUCCCAUCAGAACUCCGCAGUUAAGCGUGCUUGGGCGAGAGUAGUACUAGGAUGGGUGACCUCCCGGGAAGUCCUCGUGUUGCACCCCUUUUUAUUUUUUAAUUUUUUUUUAGCCUAAAACGAGUCUAAACUUGAAAACCUCAUAACUUUUGAACCGUGAGGAACUACGUCGCCCAUAGCACCAUUUCGGAGAGCCCCAGAAACCAUAAUGGGCGGUGAAUAGGGGGCGCAAUUUUUCGGGCUCAAAUUCAGCCGUUUUGACCCUCAAACGGGCUGCGGAAAGUUAUGGCACGUAAAAAAGAUCGAAAGCGGAUUCUCAAGGUGUUUUUGAUGCUUUCUUAACGCCGUUAACCUCGAUGCACUUUUUCCGCUCGAAACAAAACGGCAAGAAAAUCAUGCGCGCCCCACGGCCUUACACUUGGAUUGGCCGCGAAAAGGAUAUAUAGAAACGAGAGUGAUGUACUGACGGGUGCGAUCAUACCAGCACUAAUGCACCGGAUCCCAUCAGAACUCCGCAGUUAAGCGUGCUUGGGCGAGAGUAGUACUAGGAUGGGUGACCUCCCGGAAGUCCUCGUGUUGCACCCCUUUUUAUUUUUUAAUUUUUUUUUUGCCUAAACGAGUCUAAACUUGAAAACCUCAUAACUUUUGAACCGUGAGGAACUACGUCGCCCAUAGCACCAUUUCGGAGAGCCCCAGAAACCAUAAUGGGCGGUGAAUAGGGGGCGCAAUUUUUCGGGCUCAAAUUCAGCCGUUUUGACCCUCAAACGGGCUGCGGAAAGUUAUGGCACGUAAAAAAGAUCGAAAGCGGAUUCUCAAGGUGUUUUUGAUGCUUUCUUAACGCCGUUAACCUCGAUGCACUUUUUCGCUCGAAACAAAACGGCAAGAAAAUCAUGCGCGCCCCACGGCCUUACACUUGGAUUGGCCGCGAAAAGGAUAUAUAGAAACGAGAGUGAUGUACUGACGGGUGCGAUCAUACCAGCACUAAUGCACCGGAUCCCAUCAGAACUCCGCAGUUAAGCGUGCUUGGGCGAGAGUAGUACUAGGAUGGGUGACCUCCCGGGAAGUCCUCGUGUUGCACCCCUUUUUUUUUUUAAUUUUUUUUUAGCCUAAAACGAGUCUAAACUUGAAAACCUCAUAACUUUUGAACCGUGAGGAACUACGUCGCCCAUAGCACCAUUUCGGAGAGCCCCAGAAACCAUAAUGGGCGGUGAAUAGGGGGCGCAAUUUUUCGGGCUCAAAUUCAGCCGUUUUGACCCUCAAACGGGCUGCGGAAAGUUAUGGCACGUAAAAAAGAUCGAAAGCGGAUUCUCAAGGUGUUUUUGAUGCUUUCUUAACGCCGUUAACCUCGAUGCACUUUUUCGCUCGAAACAAAACGGCAAGAAAAUCAUGCGCGCCCCACGGCCUUACACUUGGAUUGGCCGCGAAAAGGAUAUAUAGAAACGAGAGUGAUGUACUGACGGGUGCGAUCAUACCAGCACUAAUGCACCGGAUCCCAUCAGAACUCCGCAGUUAAGCGUGCUUGGGCGAGAGUAGUACUAGGAUGGGUGACCUCCCGGGAAGUCCUCGUGUUGCACCCCUUUUUAUUUUUUAAUUUUUUUUUGCCUAAAACGAGUCUAAACUUGAAAACCUCAUAACUUUUGAACCGUGAGGAACUACGUCGCCCAUAGCACCAUUUCGGAGAGCCCCAGAAACCAUAAUGGGCGGUGAAUAGGGGGCGCAAUUUUUCGGGCUCAAAUUCAGCCGUUUUGACCCUCAAACGGGCUGCGGAAAGUUAUGGCACGUAAAAAAGAUCGAAAGCGGAUUCUCAAGGUGUUUUUGAUGCUUUCUUAACGCCGUUAACCUCGAUGCACUUUUUCGCUCGAAACAAAACGGCAAGAAAAUCAUGCGCGCCCCCACGGCCUUACACUUGGAUUGGCCGCGAAAAGGAUAUAUAGAAACGAGAGUGAUGUACUGACGGGUGCGAUCAUACCAGCACUAAUGCACCGGAUCCCAUCAGAACUCCGCAGUUAAGCGUGCUUGGGCGAGAGUAGUACUAGGAUGGGUGACCUCCCGGGAAGUCCUCGUGUUGCACCCCUUUUUAUUUUUUAAUUUUUUUUUAGCCUAAAACGAGUCUAAACUUGAAAACCUCAUAACUUUUGAACCGUGAGGAACUACGUCGCCCAUAGCACCAUUUCGGAGAGCCCCAGAAACAUAAUGGGCGGUGAAUAGGGGGCGCAAUUUUUCGGGCUCAAAUUCAGCCGUUUGACCCUCAAACGGGCUGCGGAAAGUUAUGGCACGUAAAAAGAUCGAAAGCGGAUUCUCAAGGUGUUUUUGAUGCUUUCUUAACGCCGUUAACCUCGAUGCACUUUUUCGCUCGAAACAAAACGGCAAGAAAAUCAUGCGCGCCCCACGGCCUUACACUUGGAUUGGCCGCGAAAAGGAUAUAUAGAAACGAGAGUGAUGUACUGACGGGUGCGAUCAUACCAGCACUAAUGCACCGGAUCCCAUCAGAACUCCGCAGUUAAGCGUGCUUGGGCGAGAGUAGUACUAGGAUGGGUGACCUCCUGGGAAGUCCUCGUGUUGCACCCCUUUUUAUUUUUUAAUUUUUUUUAUGCCUAAAACGAGUCUAAACUUGAAAACCUCAUAACUUUUGAACCGUGAGGAACUACGUCGCCCAUAGCACCAUUUCGGAGAGCCCCAGAAACCAUAAUGGGCGGUGAAUAGGGGCGCAAUUUUUCGGGCUCAAAUUCAGCCGUUUUGACCCUCAAACGGGCUGCGGAAAGUUAUGGCACGUAAAAAAGAUCGAAAGCGGAUUCUCAAGGUGUUUUUGAUGCUUUCUUAACGCCGUUAACCUCGAUGCACUUUUUCGCUCGAAACAAAACGGCAAGAAAAUCAUGCGCGCCCCACGGCCUUACACUUGGAUUGGCCGCGAAAAGGAUAUAUAGAAACGAGAGUGAUGUACUGACGGGUGCGAUCAUACCAGCACUAAUGCACCGGAUCCCAUCAGAACUCCGCAGUUAAGCGUGCUUGGGCGAGAGUAGUACUAGGAUGGGUGACCUCCCGGGAAGUCCUCGUGUUGCACCCCUUUUUAUUUUUUAAUUUUUUUUUAGCCUAAAACGAGUCUAAACUUGAAAACCUCAUAACUUUUGAACGAACCGUGAGGAACUACGUCGCCCAUAGCACCAUUUCGGAGAGCCCCAAAACCAUAAUGGGCGGUGAAUAGGGGGCGCAAUUUUUCGGGCUCAAAUUCAGCCGUUUUGACCCUCAAACGGGCUGCGGAAAGUUAUGGCACGUAAAAAAGAUCGAAAGCGGAUUCUCAAGGUGUUUUUGAUGCUUUCUUAACGCCGUUAACCUCGAUGCACUUUUUCGCUCGAAACAAAACGGCAAGAAAAUCAUGCGCGCCCCACGGCCUUACACUUGGAUUGGCCGCGAAAAGGAUAUAUAGAAACGAGAGUGAUGUACUGACGGGUGCGAUCAUACCAGCACUAAUGCACCGGAUCCCAUCAGAACUCCGCAGUUAAGCGUGCUUGGGCGAGAGUAGUACUAGGAUGGGUGACCUCCCGGGAAGUCCUCGUGUUGCACCCCUUUUUAUUUUUUUAUUUUUUUUUUGCCUAAAACGAGUCUAAACUUGAAAACCUCAUAACUUUUGAACCGUGAGGAACUACGUCGCCCAUAGCACCAUUUCGGAGAGCCCCAGAAACCAUAAUGGGCGGUGAAUAGGGGGCGCAAUUUUUCGGGCUCAAAUUCAGCCGUUUUGACCCUCAAACGGGCUGCGGAAAGUUAUGGCACGUAAAAAAGAUCGAAAGCGGAUUCUCAAGGUGUUUUUGAUGCUUUCUUAACGCCGUUAACCUCGAUGCACUUUUUCGCUCGAAACAAAACGGCAAGAAAAUCAUGCGCGCCCCACGGCCUUACACUUGGAUUGGCCGCGAAAAGGAUAUAUAGAAACGAGAGUGAUGUACUGACGGGUGCGAUCAUACCAGCACUAAUGCACCGGAUCCCAUCAGAACUCCGCAGUUAAGCGUGCUUGGGCGAGAGUAGUACUAGGAUGGGUGACCUCCCGGGAAGUCCUCGUGUUGCACCCCUUUUUAUUUUUUAAUUUUUUUUUAGCCUAAAACGAGUCUAAACUUGAAAACCUCAUAACUUUUGAACCGUGAGGAACUACGUCGCCCAUAGCACCAUUUCGGAGAGCCCCAGAAACCAUAAUGGGCGGUGAAUAGGGGGCGCAAUUUUUCGGGCUCAAAUUCAGCCGUUUUGACCCUCAAACGGGCUGCGGAAAGUUAUGGCACGUAAAAAAGAUCGAAAGCGGAUUCUCAAGGUGUUUUUGAUGCUUUCUUAACGCCGUUAACCUCGAUGCACUUUUUCGCUCGAAACAAAACGGCAAGAAAAUCAUGCGCGCCCCACGGCCUUACACUUGGAUUGGCCGCGAAAAGGAUAUAUAGAAACGAGAGUGAUGUACUGUCGUGUGCCAUCAUACCAGCACUAAUGCACCGGAUCCCAUCAGAACUCCGCAGUUAAGCGUGCUUGGGCGAGAGUAGUACUAGGAUGGGUGACCUCCCGGGAAGUCCUCGUGUUGCACCCCUUUUUAUUUUUUAUUUUUUUUUAGCCUGAAACGAGUCUAAACUUGAAAACCUCAUAACUUUUGAACCGUGAGGAACUACGUCUCCCAUAGCACCAUUUCGGAGAGCCCCAGAAACCAUAAUGGGCGGUCAAUAGGGGGCGCAAUUUUUCGGGCUCAAAUUCAGCCGUUUUGACCCUCAAACGGGCUGCGGAAAGUUAUGGCACGUAAAAAAGAUCGAAAGCGGAUUCUCAAGGUGUUUUUGAUGCUUUCUUAACGCCGUUAACCUCGAUGCACUUUUUCGCUCGAAACAAAACGGCAAGAAAAUCAUGCGCGCCCCACGGCCUUACACUUGGAUUGGCCGCGAAAAGGAUAUAUAGAAACGAGAGUGAUGUACUGACGGGUGCGAUCAUACCAGCACUAAUGCACCGGAUCCCAUCAGAACUCCGCAGUUAAGCGUGCUUGGGCGAGAGUAGUAGUACUAGGAUGGGUGACCUCCCGGGAAGUCCUCGUGUUGCACCCCUUUUUAUUUUUUAAUUUUUUUUUAGCCUAAAACGAGUCUAAACUUGAAAACCUCAUAACUUUUGAACCGUGAGGAACUACGUCGCCCAUAGCACCAUUUCGGAGAGCCCCAGAAACCAUAAUGGGCGGUGAAUAGGGGGCGCAAUUUUUCGGGCUCAAAUUCAGCCGUUUUGACCCUCAAACGGGCUGCGGAAAGUUAUGGCACGUAAAAAGAUCGAAAGCGGAUUCUCAAGGUGUUUUUGAUGCUUUCUUAACGCCGUUAACCUCGAUGCACUUUUUCGCUCGAAACAAAACGGCAAGAAAAUCAUGCGCGCCCCACGGCCUUACACUUGGAUUGGCCGCGAAAAGGAUAUAUAGAAACGAGAGUGAUGUACUGUCGGGUGCGAUCAUACCAGCACUAAUGCACCGGAUCCCAUCAGAACUCCGCAGUUAAGCGUGCUUGGGCGAGAGUAGUACUAGGAUGGGUGACCUCCCGGAAAGUCCUCGUGUUGCACCCCUUUUUUAUUUUUUAAUUUUUUUUUAGCCUAAAACGAGUCUAAACUUGAAAACCUCAUAACUUUUGAACCGUGAGGAACUACGUCGCCCAUAGCACCAUUUCGGAAAGCCCCAGAAACCAUAAUGGGCGGUGAAUAGGGGGCGCAAUUUUUCGGGCUCAAAUUCAGUCGUUUUGACCCUCAGACGGGCUGCGGAAAGUUAUGGCACGUAAAAAAGAUCGAAAGCGGAUUCUCAAGGUGUUUUUGAUGCUUUCUUAACGCCGUUAACCUCGAUGCACUUUUUCGCUCGAAACAAAACGGCAAGAAAAUCAUGCGCGCCCCACGGCCUUACACUUGGAUUGGCCGCGAAAAGGAUAUAUAGAAACGAGAGUGAUGUACUGACGGGUGCGAUCAUACCAGCACUAAUGCACCGGAUCCCAUCAGAACUCCGCAGUUAAGCGUGCUUGGGCGAGAGUAGUACUAGGAUGGGUGACCUCCCGGGAAGUCCUCGUGUUGCACCCCUUUUUAUUUUUAAUUUUUUUUAGCCUAAAACGAGUCUAAACUUGAAAACCUCAUAACUUUUGAACCGUGAGGAACUACGUCGCCCAUAGCACCAUUUCGGAGAGCCCCAGAAACCAUAAUGGGCGGUGAAUAGGGGGCGCAAUUUUUCGGGCGAUAUAUAGAAACGAGAGUGAUGUACUGACGGGUGCGAUCAUACCAGCACUAAUGCACCGGAUCCCAUCAGAACUCCGCAGUUAAGCGUGCUUGGGCGAGAGUAGUACUAGGAUGGGUGACCUCCCGGGAAGUCCUCGUGUUGCACCCCUUUUUAUUUUUUAAUUUUUUUUUAGCCUAAAACGAGUCUAAACUUGAAAACCUCAUAACUUUUGAACCGUGAGGAACUACGUCGCCCAUAGCACCAUUUCGGAGAGCCCCAGAAACCAUAAUGGGCGGUGAAUAGGGGCGCAAUUUUUCGGGCUCAAAUUCAGCCGUUUUGACCCUCAAACGGGCUGCGGAAAGUUAUGGCACGUAAAAAAGAUCGAAAGCGGAUUCUCAAGGUGUUUUUGAUGCUUUCUUAACGCCGUUAACCUCGAUGCACUUUUUCGCUCGAAACAAAACGGCAAGAAAAUCAUGCGCGCCCCACGGCCUUACACUUGGAUUGGCCGCGAAAAGGAUAUAUAGAAACGAGAGUGAUGUACUGACGGGUGCGAUCAUACCAGCACUAAUGCACCGGAUCCCAUCAGAACUCCGCAGUUAAGCGUGCUUGGGCGAGAGUAGUACUAGGAUGGGUGACCUCCCGGGAAGUCCUCGUGUUGCACCCCUUUUUAUUUUUUAAUUUUUUUUUAGCCUAAAACGAGUCUAAACUUGAAAACCUCAUAACUUUUGAACCGUGAGGAACUACGUCGCCCAUAGCACCAUUUCGGAGAGCCCCAGAAACCAUAAUGGGCGGUGAAUAGGGGGCGCAAUUUUUCGGGCUCAAAUUCAGCCGUUUUGACCCUCAAACGGGCUGCGGAAAGUUAUGGCACGUAAAAAAGAUCGAAAGCGGAUUCUCAAGGUGUUUUUGAUGCUUUCUUAACGCCGUUAACCUCGAUGCACUUUUUCGCUCGAAACAAAACGGCAAGAAAAUCAUGCGCGCCCCACGGCCUUACACUUGGAUUGGCCGCGAAAAGGAUAUAUAGAAACGAGAGUGAUGUACUGACGGGUGCGAUCAUACCAGCACUAAUGCACCGGAUCCCAUCAGAACUCCGCAGUUAAGCGUGCUUGGGCGAGAGUAGUACUAGGAUGGGUGACCUCCCGGGAAGUCCUCGUGUUGCACCCCUUUUUAUUUUUUAAUUUUUUUUUAGCCUAAAACGAGUCUAAACUUGAAAACCUCAUAACUUUUGAACCGUGAGGAACUACGUCGCCCAUAGCACCAUUUCGGAGAGCCCCAGAAACCAUAAUGGGCGGUGAAUAGGGGGCGCAAUUUUUCGGGCUCAAAUUCAGCCGUUUUGACCCUCAAACGGGCUGCGGAAAGUUAUGGCACGUAAAAAAGAUCGAAAGCGGAUUCUCAAGGUGUUUUUGAUGCUUUCUUAACGCCGUUAACCUCGAUGCACUUUUUCGCUCGAAACAAAACGGCAAGAAAAUCAUGCGCGCCCCACGGCCUUACACUUGGAUUGGCCGCGAAAAGGAUAUAUAGAAACGAGAGUGAUGUACUGACGGGUGCGAUCAUACCAGCACUAAUGCACCGGAUCCCAUCAGAACUCCGCAGUUAAGCGUGCUUGGGCGAGAGUAGUACUAGGAUGGGUGACCUCCCGGGAAGUCCUCGUGUUGCACCCCUUUUUAUUUUUUAAUUUUUUUUUAGCCUAAAACGAGUCUAAACUUGAAAACCUCAUAACUUUUGAACCGUGAGGAACUACGUCGCCCAUAGCACCAUUUCGGAGAGCCCCAGAAACCAUAAUGGGCGGUGAAUAGGGGGCGCAAUUUUUCGGGCUCAAAUUCAGCCGUUUUGACCCUCAAACGGGCUGCGGAAAGUUAUGGCACGUAAAAAAGAUCGAAAGCGGAUUCUCAAGGUGUUUUUGAUGCUUUCUUAACGCCGUUAACCUCGAUGCACUUUUUCGCUCGAAACAAAACGGCAAGAAAAUCAUGCGCGCCCCACGGCCUUACACUUGGAUUGGCCGCGAAAAGGAUAUAUAGAAACGAGAGUGAUGUACUGACGGGUGCGAUCAUACCAGCACUAAUGCACCGGAUCCCAUCAGAACUCCGCAGUUAAGCGUGCUUGGGCGAGAGUAGUACUAGGAUGGGUGACCUCCCGGGAAGUCCUCGUGUUGCACCCCUUUUUAUUUUUAAUUUUUUUUUAGCCUAAAACGAGUCUAAACUUGAAAACCUCAUAACUUUUGAACCGUGAGGAACUACGUCGCCCAUAGCACCAUUUCGGAGAGCCCCAGAAACCAUAAUGGGCGGUGAAUAGGGGGCGCAAUUUUUCGGGCUCAAAUUCAGCCGUUUUGACCCUCAAACGGGCUGCGGAAAGUUAUGGCACGUAAAAAAGAUCGAAAGCGGAUUCUCAAGGUGUUUUUGAUGCUUUCUUAACGCCGUUAACCUCGAUGCACUUUUUCGCUCGAAACAAAACGGCAAGAAAAUCAUGCGCGCCCCACGGCCUUACACUUGGAUUGGCCGCGAAAAGGAUAUAUAGAAACGAGAGUGAUGUACUGACGGGUGCGAUCAUACCAGCACUAAUGCACCGGAUCCCAUCAGAACUCCGCAGUUAAGCGUGCUUGGGCGAGAGUAGUACUAGGAUGGGUGACCUCCCGGGAAGUCCUCGUGUUGCACCCCUUUUUAUUUUUUAAUUUUUUUUUAGCCUAAAACGAGUCUAAACUUGAAAACCUCAUAACUUUUGAACCGUGAGGAACUACGUCGCCCAUAGCACCAUUUCGGAGAGCCCCAGAAACCAUAAUGGGCGGUGAAUAGGGGGCGCAAUUUUUCGGGCUCAAAUUCAGCCGUUUUGACCCUCAAACGGGCUGCGGAAAGUUAUGGCACGUAAAAAAGAUCGAAAGCGGAUUCUCAAGGUGUUUUUGAUGCUUUCUUAACGCCGUUAACCUCGAUGCACUUUUUCGCUCGAAACAAAACGGCAAGAAAAUCAUGCGCGCCCCACGGCCUUACACUUGGAUUGGCCGCGAAAAGGAUAUAUAGAAACGAGAGUGAUGUACUGACGGGUGCGAUCAUACCAGCACUAAUGCACCGGAUCCCAUCAGAACUCCGCAGUUAAGCGUGCUUGGGCGAGAGUAGUACUAGGAUGGGUGACCUCCCGGGAAGUCCUCGUGUUGCACCCCUUUUUAUUUUUUAAUUUUUUUUAGCCUAAAACGAGUCUAAACUUGAAAACCUCAUAACUUUUGAACCGUGAGGAACUACGUCGCCCAUAGCACCAUUUCGGAGAGCCCCAGAAACCAUAAUGGGCGGUGAAUAGGGGGCGCAAUUUUUCGGGCUCAAAUUCAGCCGUUUUGACCCUCAAACGGGCUGCGGAAAGUUAUGGCACGUAAAAAAGAUCGAAAGCGGAUUCUCAAGGUGUUUUUGAUGCUUUCUUAACGCCGUUAACCUCGAUGCACUUUUUCGCUCGAAACAAAACGGCAAGAAAAUCAUGCGCGCCCCACGGCCUUACACUUGGAUUGGCCGCGAAAAGGAUAUAUAGAAACGAGAGUGAUGUACUGACGGGUGCGAUCAUACCAGCACUAAUGCACCGGAUCCCAUCAGAACUCCGCAGUUAAGGGUGCUUGGGCGAGAGUAGUACUAGGAUGGGUGACCUCCCGGGAAGUCCUCGUGUUGCACCCCUUUUUAUUUUUUUUAUUUUUUUUUAGCCUAAAACGAGUCUAAACUUGAAAACCUCAUAACUUUUGAACCGUGAGGAACUACGUCGCCCAUAGCACCAUUUCGGAAAGCCCCAGAAACCAUAAUGGGCGGUGAAUAGGGGGCGCAAUUUUUCGGGCUCAAAUUCAGCCGUUUUGACCCUCAAACGGGCUGCGGAAAGUUAUGGCACGUAAAAAAGAUCGAAAGCGGAUUCUCAAGGUGUUUUUGAUGCUUUCUUAACGCCGUUAACCUCGAUGCACUUUUUCGCUCGAAACAAAACGGCAAGAAAAUCAUGCGCGCCCCACGGCCUUACACUUGGAUUGGCCGCGAAAAGGAUAUAUAGAAACGAGAGUGAUGUACUGACGGGUGCGAUCAUACCAGCACUAAUGCACCGGAUCCCAUCAGAACUCCGCAGUUAAGCGUGCUUGGGCGAGAGUAGUACUAGGAUGGGUGACCUCCCGGGAAGUCCUCGUGUUGCACCCCUUUUUAUUUUUUAAUUUUUUUUUAGCCUAAAACGAGUCUAAACUUGAAAACCUCAUAACUUUUGAACCGUGAGGAACUACGUCGCCCAUAGCACCAUUUCGGAAAGCCCCAGAAACCAUAAUGGGCGGUGAAUAGGGGGCGCAAUUUUUCGGGCUCAAAUUCAGCCGUUUUGACCCUCAAACGGGCUGCGGAAAGUUAUGGCACGUAAAAAAGAUCGAAAGCGGAUUCUCAAGGUGUUUUUGAUGCUUUCUUAACGCCGUUAACCUCGAUGCACUUUUUCGCUCGAAACAAAACGGCAAGAAAAUCAUGCGCGCCCCACGGCCUUACACUUGGAUUGGCCGCGAAAAGGAUAUAUAGAAACGAGAGUGAUGUACUGACGGGUGCGAUCAUACCAGCACUAAUGCACCGGAUCCCAUCAGAACUCCGCAGUUAAGCGUGCUUGGGCGAGAGUAGUACUAGGAUGGGUGACCUCCCGGGAAGUCCUCGUGUUGCACCCCUUUUUAUUUUUUAAUUUUUUUUUAGCCUAAAACGAGUCUAAACUUGAAAACCCAUAACUUUUGAACCGUGAGGAACUACGUCGCCCAUAGCACCAUUUCGGAAGCCCCAGAAACCAUAAUGGGCGGUGAAUAGGGGGCGCAAUUUUUCGGGCUCAAAUUCAGCCGUUUUGACCCUCAAACGGGCUGCGGAAAGUUAUGGCACGUAAAAAAGAUCGAAAGCGGAUUCUCAAGGUGUUUUUGAUGCUUUCUUAACGCCGUUAACCUCGAUGCACUUUUUCGCUCGAAACAAAACGGCAAGAAAAUCAUGCGCGCCCCACGGCCUUACACUUGGAUUGGCCGCGAAAAGGAUAUAUAGAAACGAGAGUGAUGUACUGACGGGUGCGAUCAUACCAGCACUAAUGCACCGGAUCCCAUCAGAACUCCGCAGUUAAGCGUGCUUGGGCGAGAGUAGUACUAGGAUGGGUGACCUCCCGGGAAGUCCUCGUGUUGCACCCCUUUUUAUUUUUUAAUUUUUUUUUAGCCUAAAACGAGUCUAAACUUGAAAACCUCAUAACUUUUGAACCGUGAGGAACUACGUCGCCCAUAGCACCAUUUCGGAAAGCCCCAGAAACCAUAAUGGGCGGUGAAUAGGGGGCGCAAUUUUUCGGGCUCAAAUUCAGCCGUUUUGACCCUCAAACGGGCUGCGGAAAGUUAUGGCACGUAAAAAAGAUCGAAAGCGGAUUCUCAAGGUGUUUUUGAUGCUUUCUUAACGCCGUUAACCUCGAUGCACUUUUUCGCUCGAAACAAAACGGCAAGAAAAUCAUGCGCGCCCCACGGCCUUACACUUGGAUUGGCCGCGAAAAGGAUAUAUAGAAACGAGAGUGAUGUACUGACGGGUGCGAUCAUACCAGCACUAAUGCACCGGAUCCCAUCAGAACUCCGCAGUUAAGCGUGCUUGGGCGAGAGUAGUACUAGGAUGGGUGACCUCCCGGGAAGUCCUCGUGUUGCACCCCUUUUUAUUUUUUAAUUUUUUUUUAGCCUAAAACGAGUCUAAACUUGAAAACCCCAUAACUUUUGAACCGUGAGGAACUACGUCGCCCAUAGCACCAUUUCGGAAAGCCCCAGAAACCAUAAUGGGCGGUGAAUAGGGGGCGCAAUUUUUCGGGCUCAAAUUCAGCCGUUUUGACCCUCAAACGGGCUGCGGAAAGUUAUGGCACGUAAAAAAGAUCGAAAGCGGAUUCUCAAGGUGUUUUUGAUGCUUUCUUAACGCCGUUAACCUCGAUGCACUUUUUCGCUCGAAACAAAACGGCAAGAAAAUCAUGCGCGCCCCACGGCCUUACACUUGGAUUGGCCGCGAAAAGGAUAUAUAGAAACGAGAGUGAUGUACUGACGGGUGCGAUCAUACCAGCACUAAUGCACCGGAUCCCAUCAGAACUCCGCAGUUAAGCGUGCUUGGGCGAGAGUAGUACUAGGAUGGGUGACCUCCCGGGAAGUCCUCGUGUUGCACCCCUUUUUAUUUUUUAAUUUUUUUUUAGCCUAAAACGAGUCUAAACUUGAAAACCUCAUAACUUUUGAACCGUGAGGAACUACGUCGCCCAUAGCACCAUUUCGGAGAAGCCCCAGAAACCAUAAUGGGCGGUGAAUAGGGGGCGCAAUUUUUCGGGCUCAAAUUCAGCCGUUUUGACCCUCAAACGGGCUGCGGAAAGUUAUGGCACGUAAAAAAGAUCGAAAGCGGAUUCUCAAGGUGUUUUUGAUGCUUUCUUAACGCCGUUAACCUCGAUGCACUUUUUCGCUCGAAACAAAACGGCAAGAAAAUCAUGCGCGCCCCACGGCCUUACACUUGGAUUGGCCGCGAAAAGGAUAUAUAGAAACGAGAGUGAUGUACUGUCGGGUGCGAUCAUACCAGCACUAAUGCACCGGAUCCCAUCAGAACUCCGCAGUUAAGCGUGCUUGGGCGAGAGUAGUACUAGGAUGGGUGACCUCCCGGGAAGUCCUCGUGUUGCACCCCUUUUUAUUUUUUAAUUUUUUUUAGCCUAAAACGAGUCUAAACUUGAAAACCUCAUAACUUUUGAACCGUGAGGAACUACGUCGCCCAUAGCACCAUUUCGGAAAGCCCCAGAAACCAUAAUGGGCGGUGAAUAGGGGGCGCAAUUUUUCGGGCUCAAAUUCAGCCGUUUUGACCCUCAAACGGGCUGCGGAAAGUUAUGGCACGUAAAAAAGAUCGAAAGCGGAUUCUCAAGGUGUUUUUGAUGCUUUCUUAACGCCGUUAACCUCGAUGCACUUUUUCGCUCGAAACAAAACGGCAAGAAAAUCAUGCGCGCCCCACGGCCUUACACUUGGAUUGGCCGCGAAAAGGAUAUAUAGAAACGAGAGUGAUGUACUGACGGGUGCGAUCAUACCAGCACUAAUGCACCGGAUCCCAUCAGAACUCCGCAGUUAAGCGUGCUUGGGCGAGAGUAGUACUAGGAUGGGUGACCUCCCGGGAAGUCCUCGUGUUGCACCCCUUUUUAUUUUUUAAUUUUUUUUUAGCCUAAAACGAGUCUAAACUUGAAAACCCAUAACUUUUGAACCGUGAGGAACUACGUCGCCCAUAGCACCAUUUCGGAAAGCCCCAGAAACCAUAAUGGGCGGUGAAUAGGGGGCGCAAUUUUUCGGGCUCAAAUUCAGCCGUUUUGACCCUCAAACGGGCUGCGGAAAGUUAUGGCACGUAAAAAAGAUCGAAAGCGGAUUCUCAAGGUGUUUUUGAUGCUUUCUUAACGCCGUUAACCUCGAUGCACUUUUUCGCUCGAAACAAAACGGCAAGAAAAUCAUGCGCGCCCCACGGCCUUACACUUGGAUUGGCCGCGAAAAGGAUAUAUAGAAACGAGAGUGAUGUACUGUCGGGUGCGAUCAUACCAGCACUAAUGCACCGGAUCCCAUCAGAACUCCGCAGUUAAGCGUGCUUGGGCGAGAGUAGUACUAGGAUGGGUGACCUCCCGGGAAGUCCUCGUGUUGCACCCCUUUUUAUUUUUUAAUUUUUUUUAGCCUAAAACGAGUCUAAACUUGAAAACCCCAUAACUUUUGAACCGUGAGGAACUACGUCGCCCAUAGCACCAUUUCGGAAAGCCCCAGAAACCAUAAUGGGCGGUGAAUAGGGGGCGCAAUUUUUCGGGCUCAAAUUCAGCCGUUUUGACCCUCAAACGGGCUGCGGAAAGUUAUGGCACGUAAAAAAGAUCGAAAGCGGAUUCUCAAGGUGUUUUUGAUGCUUUCUUAACGCCGUUAACCUCGAUGCACUUUUUCGCUCGAAACAAAACGGCAAGAAAAUCAUGCGCGCCCCACGGCCUUACACUUGGAUUGGCCGCGAAAAGGAUAUAUAGAAACGAGAGUGAUGUACUGUCGGGUGCGAUCAUACCAGCACUAAUGCACCGGAUCCCAUCAGAACUCCGCAGUUAAGCGUGCUUGGGCGAGAGUAGUACUAGGAUGGGUGACCUCCCGGGAAGUCCUCGUGUUGCACCCCUUUUUAUUUUUUAAUUUUUUUUUAGCCUAAAACGAGUCUAAACUUGAAAACCUCAUAACUUUUGAACCGUGAGGAACUACGUCGCCCAUAGCACCAUUUCGGAAAGCCCCAGAAACCAUAAUGGGCGGUGAAUAGGGGGCGCAAUUUUUCGGGCUCAAAUUCAGCCGUUUUGACCCUCAAACGGGCUGCGGAAAGUUAUGGCACGUAAAAAAGAUCGAAAGCGGAUUCUCAAGGUGUUUUUGAUGCUUUCUUAACGCCGUUAACCUCGAUGCACUUUUUCGCUCGAAACAAAACGGCAAGAAAAUCAUGCGCGCCCCACGGCCUUACACUUGGAUUGGCCGCGAAAAGGAUAUAUAGAAACGAGAGUGAUGUACUGUCGGGUGCGAUCAUACCAGCACUAAUGCACCGGAUCCCAUCAGAACUCCGCAGUUAAGCGUGCUUGGGCGAGAGUAGUACUAGGAUGGGUGACCUCCCGGGAAGUCCUCGUGUUGCACCCCUUUUUAUUUUUUAAUUUUUUUUUAGCCUAAAACGAGUCUAAACUUGAAAACCUCAUAACUUUUGAACCGUGAGGAACUACGUCGCCCAUAGCACCAUUUCGGAAAGCCCCAGAAACCAUAAUGGGCGGUGAAUAGGGGGCGCAAUUUUUCGGGCUCAAAUUCAGCCGUUUUGACCCUCAAACGGGCUGCGGAAAGUUAUGGCACGUAAAAAAGAUCGAAAGCGGAUUCUCAAGGUGUUUUUGAUGCUUUCUUAACGCCGUUAACCUCGAUGCACUUUUUCGCUCGAAACAAAACGGCAAGAAAAUCAUGCGCGCCCCACGGCCUUACACUUGGAUUGGCCGCGAAAAGGAUAUAUAGAAACGAGAGUGAUGUACUGACGGGUGCGAUCAUACCAGCACUAAUGCACCGGAUCCCAUCAGAACUCCGCAGUUAAGCGUGCUUGGGCGAGAGUAGUACUAGGAUGGGUGACCUCCCGGGAAGUCCUCGUGUUGCACCCCUUUUUAUUUUUUAAUUUUUUUUUAGCCUAAAACGAGUCUAAACUUGAAAACCUCAUAACUUUUGAACCGUGAGGAACUACGUCGCCCAUAGCACCAUUUCGGAAAGCCCCAGAAACCAUAAUGGGCGGUGAAUAGGGGGCGCAAUUUUUCGGGCUCAAAUUCAGCCGUUUUGACCCUCAAACGGGCUGCGGAAAGUUAUGGCACGUAAAAAAGAUCGAAAGCGGAUUCUCAAGGUGUUUUUGAUGCUUUCUUAACGCCGUUAACCUCGAUGCACUUUUUCGCUCGAAACAAAACGGCAAGAAAAUCAUGCGCGCCCCACGGCCUUACACUUGGAUUGGCCGCGAAAAGGAUAUAUAGAAACGAGAGUGAUGUACUGACGGGUGCGAUCAUACCAGCACUAAUGCACCGGAUCCCAUCAGAACUCCGCAGUUAAGCGUGCUUGGGCGAGAGUAGUACUAGGAUGGGUGACCUCCCGGGAAGUCCUCGUGUUGCACCCCUUUUUAUUUUUUAAUUUUUUUUUAGCCUAAAACGAGUCUAAACUUGAAAACCUCAUAACUUUUGAACCGUGAGGAACUACGUCGCCCAUAGCACCAUUUCGGAAAGCCCCAGAAACCAUAAUGGGCGGUGAAUAGGGGGCGCAAUUUUUCGGGCUCAAAUUCAGCCGUUUUGACCCUCAAACGGGCUGCGGAAAGUUAUGGCACGUAAAAAAGAUCGAAAGCGGAUUCUCAAGGUGUUUUUGAUGCUUUCUUAACGCCGUUAACCUCGAUGCACUUUUUCGCUCGAAACAAAACGGCAAGAAAAUCAUGCGCGCCCCACGGCCUUACACUUGGAUUGGCCGCGAAAAGGAUAUAUAGAAACGAGAGUGAUGUACUGACGGGUGCGAUCAUACCAGCACUAAUGCACCGGAUCCCAUCAGAACUCCGCAGUUAAGCGUGCUUGGGCGAGAGUAGUACUAGGAUGGGUGACCUCCCGGGAAGUCCUCGUGUUGCACCCCUUUUUAUUUUUUAAUUUUUUUUUAGCCUAAAACGAGUCUAAACUUGAAAACCUCAUAACUUUUGAACCGUGAGGAACUACGUCGCCCAUAGCACCAUUUCGGAAGCCCCAGAAACCAUAAUGGGCGGUGAAUAGGGGGCGCAAUUUUUCGGGCUCAAAUUCAGCCGUUUUGACCCUCAAACGGGCUGCGGAAAGUUAUGGCACGUAAAAAAGAUCGAAAGCGGAUUCUCAAGGUGUUUUUGAUGCUUUCUUAACGCCGUUAACCUCGAUGCACUUUUUCGCUCGAAACAAAACGGCAAGAAAAUCAUGCGCGCCCCACGGCCUUACACUUGGAUUGGCCGCGAAAAGGAUAUAUAGAAACGAGAGUGAUGUACUGACGGGUGCGAUCAUACCAGCACUAAUGCACCGGAUCCCAUCAGAACUCCGCAGUUAAGCGUGCUUGGGCGAGAGUAGUACUAGGAUGGGUGACCUCCCGGGAAGUCCUCGUGUUGCACCCCUUUUUAUUUUUUAAUUUUUUUUUAGCCUAAAACGAGUCUAAACUUGAAAACCUCAUAACUUUUGAACCGUGAGGAACUACGUCGCCCAUAGCACCAUUUCGGAAAGCCCCAGAAACCAUAAUGGGCGGUGAAUAGGGGGCGCAAUUUUUCGGGCUCAAAUUCAGCCGUUUUGACCCUCAAACGGGCUGCGGAAAGUUAUGGCACGUAAAAAAGAUCGAAAGCGGAUUCUCAAGGUGUUUUUGAUGCUUUCUUAACGCCGUUAACCUCGAUGCACUUUUUCGCUCGAAACAAAACGGCAAGAAAAUCAUGCGCGCCCCACGGCCUUACACUUGGAUUGGCCGCGAAAAGGAUAUAUAGAAACGAGAGUGAUGUACUGACGGGUGCGAUCAUACCAGCACUAAUGCACCGGAUCCCAUCAGAACUCCGCAGUUAAGCGUGCUUGGGCGAGAGUAGUACUAGGAUGGGUGACCUCCCGGGAAGUCCUCGUGUUGCACCCCUUUUUAUUUUUUAAUUUUUUUUUAGCCUAAAACGAGUCUAAACUUGAAAACCUCAUAACUUUUGAACCGUGAGGAACUACGUCGCCCAUAGCACCAUUUCGGAGCCCCAGAAACCAUAAUGGGCGGUGAAUAGGGGGCGCAAUUUUUCGGGCUCAAAUUCAGCCGUUUUGACCCUCAAACGGGCUGCGGAAAGUUAUGGCACGUAAAAAAGAUCGAAAGCGGAUUCUCAAGGUGUUUUUGAUGCUUUCUUAACGCCGUUAACCUCGAUGCACUUUUUCGCUCGAAACAAAACGGCAAGAAAAUCAUGCGCGCCCCACGGCCUUACACUUGGAUUGGCCGCGAAAAGGAUAUAUAGAAACGAGAGUGAUGUACUGACGGGUGCGAUCAUACCAGCACUAAUGCACCGGAUCCCAUCAGAACUCCGCAGUUAAGCGUGCUUGGGCGAGAGUAGUACUAGGAUGGGUGACCUCCCGGGAAGUCCUCGUGUUGCACCCCUUUUUAUUUUUUAAUUUUUUUUUAGCCUAAAACGAGUCUAAACUUGAAAACCUCAUAACUUUUGAACCGUGAGGAACUACGUCGCCCAUAGCACCAUUUCGGAAAGCCCCAGAAACCAUAAUGGGCGGUGAAUAGGGGGCGCAAUUUUUCGGGCUCAAAUUCAGCCGUUUUGACCCUCAAACGGGCUGCGGAAAGUUAUGGCACGUAAAAAAGAUCGAAAGCGGAUUCUCAAGGUGUUUUUGAUGCUUUCUUAACGCCGUUAACCUCGAUGCACUUUUUCGCUCGAAACAAAACGGCAAGAAAAUCAUGCGCGCCCCACGGCCUUACACUUGGAUUGGCCGCGAAAAGGAUAUAUAGAAACGAGAGUGAUGUACUGACGGGUGCGAUCAUACCAGCACUAAUGCACCGGAUCCCAUCAGAACUCCGCAGUUAAGCGUGCUUGGGCGAGAGUAGUACUAGGAUGGGUGACCUCCCGGGAAGUCCUCGUGUUGCACCCCUUUUUAUUUUUUAAUUUUUUUUUAGCCUAAAACGAGUCUAAACUUGAAAACCUCAUAACUUUUGAACCGUGAGGAACUACGUCGCCCAUAGCACCAUUUCGGAAAGCCCCAGAAACCAUAAUGGGCGGUGAAUAGGGGGCGCAAUUUUUCGGGCUCAAAUUCAGCCGUUUUGACCCUCAAACGGGCUGCGGAAAGUUAUGGCACGUAAAAAAGAUCGAAAGCGGAUUCUCAAGGUGUUUUUGAUGCUUUCUUAACGCCGUUAACCUCGAUGCACUUUUUCGCUCGAAACAAAACGGCAAGAAAAUCAUGCGCGCCCCACGGCCUUACACUUGGAUUGGCCGCGAAAAGGAUAUAUAGAAACGAGAGUGAUGUACUGACGGGUGCGAUCAUACCAGCACUAAUGCACCGGAUCCCAUCAGAACUCCGCAGUUAAGCGUGCUUGGGCGAGAGUAGUACUAGGAUGGGUGACCUCCCGGGAAGUCCUCGUGUUGCACCCCUUUUUAUUUUUUAAUUUUUUUUAGCCUAAAACGAGUCUAAACUUGAAAACCUCAUAACUUUUGAACCGUGAGGAACUACGUCGCCCAUAGCACCAUUUCGGAAAGCCCCAGAAACCAUAAUGGGCGGUGAAUAGGGGGCGCAAUUUUUCGGGCUCAAAUUCAGCCGUUUUGACCCUCAAACGGGCUGCGGAAAGUUAUGGCACGUAAAAAAGAUCGAAAGCGGAUUCUCAAGGUGUUUUUGAUGCUUUCUUAACGCCGUUAACCUCGAUGCACUUUUUCGCUCGAAACAAAACGGCAAGAAAAUCAUGCGCGCCCCACGGCCUUACACUUGGAUUGGCCGCGAAAAGGAUAUAUAGAAACGAGAGUGAUGUACUGACGGGUGCGAUCAUACCAGCACUAAUGCACCGGAUCCCAUCAGAACUCCGCAGUUAAGCGUGCUUGGGCGAGAGUAGUACUAGGAUGGGUGACCUCCCGGGAAGUCCUCGUGUUGCACCCCUUUUUAUUUUUUAAUUUUUUUUUAGCCUAAAACGAGUCUAAACUUGAAAACCUCAUAACUUUUGAACCGUGAGGAACUACGUCGCCCAUAGCACCAUUUCGGAAAGCCCCAGAAACCAUAAUGGGCGGUGAAUAGGGGGCGCAAUUUUUCGGGCUCAAAUUCAGCCGUUUUGACCCUCAAACGGGCUGCGGAAAGUUAUGGCACGUAAAAAAGAUCGAAAGCGGAUUCUCAAGGUGUUUUUGAUGCUUUCUUAACGCCGUUAACCUCGAUGCACUUUUUCGCUCGAAACAAAACGGCAAGAAAAUCAUGCGCGCCCCACGGCCUUACACUUGGAUUGGCCGCGAAAAGGAUAUAUAGAAACGAGAGUGAUGUACUGACGGGUGCGAUCAUACCAGCACUAAUGCACCGGAUCCCAUCAGAACUCCGCAGUUAAGCGUGCUUGGGCGAGAGUAGUACUAGGAUGGGUGACCUCCCGGGAAGUCCUCGUGUUGCACCCCUUUUUAUUUUUUAAUUUUUUUUUAGCCUAAAACGAGUCUAAACUUGAAAACCUCAUAACUUUUGAACCGUGAGGAACUACGUCGCCCAUAGCACCAUUUCGGAAAGCCCCAGAAACCAUAAUGGGCGGUGAAUAGGGGGCGCAAUUUUUCGGGCUCAAAUUCAGCCGUUUUGACCCUCAAACGGGCUGCGGAAAGUUAUGGCACGUAAAAAAGAUCGAAAGCGGAUUCUCAAGGUGUUUUUGAUGCUUUCUUAACGCCGUUAACCUCGAUGCACUUUUUCGCUCGAAACAAAACGGCAAGAAAAUCAUGCGCGCCCCACGGCCUUACACUUGGAUUGGCCGCGAAAAGGAUAUAUAGAAACGAGAGUGAUGUACUGACGGGUGCGAUCAUACCAGCACUAAUGCACCGGAUCCCAUCAGAACUCCGCAGUUAAGCGUGCUUGGGCGAGAGUAGUACUAGGAUGGGUGACCUCCCGGGAAGUCCUCGUGUUGCACCCCUUUUUAUUUUUUAAUUUUUUUUUAGCCUAAAACGAGUCUAAACUUGAAAACCUCAUAACUUUUGAACCGUGAGGAACUACGUCGCCCAUAGCACCAUUUCGGAAAGCCCCAGAAACCAUAAUGGGCGGUGAAUAGGGGGCGCAAUUUUUCGGGCUCAAAUUCAGCCGUUUUGACCCUCAAACGGGCUGCGGAAAGUUAUGGCACGUAAAAAAGAUCGAAAGCGGAUUCUCAAGGUGUUUUUGAUGCUUUCUUAACGCCGUUAACCUCGAUGCACUUUUUCGCUCGAAACAAAACGGCAAGAAAAUCAUGCGCGCCCCACGGCCUUACACUUGGAUUGGCCGCGAAAAGGAUAUAUAGAAACGAGAGUGAUGUACUGACGGGUGCGAUCAUACCAGCACUAAUGCACCGGAUCCCAUCAGAACUCCGCAGUUAAGCGUGCUUGGGCGAGAGUAGUACUAGGAUGGGUGACCUCCCGGGAAGUCCUCGUGUUGCACCCCUUUUUAUUUUUUAAUUUUUUUUUAGCCUAAAACGAGUCUAAACUUGAAAACCUCAUAACUUUUGAACCGUGAGGAACUACGUCGCCCAUAGCACCAUUUCGGAAAGCCCCAGAAACCAUAAUGGGCGGUGAAUAGGGGGCGCAAUUUUUCGGGCUCAAAUUCAGCCGUUUUGACCCUCAAACGGGCUGCGGAAAGUUAUGGCACGUAAAAAAGAUCGAAAGCGGAUUCUCAAGGUGUUUUUGAUGCUUUCUUAACGCCGUUAACCUCGAUGCACUUUUUCGCUCGAAACAAAACGGCAAGAAAAUCAUGCGCGCCCCACGGCCUUACACUUGGAUUGGCCGCGAAAAGGAUAUAUAGAAACGAGAGUGAUGUACUGACGGGUGCGAUCAUACCAGCACUAAUGCACCGGAUCCCAUCAGAACUCCGCAGUUAAGCGUGCUUGGGCGAGAGUAGUACUAGGAUGGGUGACCUCCCGGGAAGUCCUCGUGUUGCACCCCUUUUUAUUUUUUAAUUUUUUUUUAGCCUAAAACGAGUCUAAACUUGAAAACCUCAUAACUUUUGAACCGUGAGGAACUACGUCGCCCAUAGCACCAUUUCGGAAAGCCCCAGAAACCAUAAUGGGCGGUGAAUAGGGGGCGCAAUUUUUCGGGCUCAAAUUCAGCCGUUUUGACCCUCAAACGGGCUGCGGAAAGUUAUGGCACGUAAAAAAGAUCGAAAGCGGAUUCUCAAGGUGUUUUUGAUGCUUUCUUAACGCCGUUAACCUCGAUGCACUUUUUCGCUCGAAACAAAACGGCAAGAAAAUCAUGCGCGCCCCACGGCCUUACACUUGGAUUGGCCGCGAAAAGGAUAUAUAGAAACGAGAGUGAUGUACUGACGGGUGCGAUCAUACCAGCACUAAUGCACCGGAUCCCAUCAGAACUCCGCAGUUAAGCGUGCUUGGGCGAGAGUAGUACUAGGAUGGGUGACCUCCCGGGAAGUCCUCGUGUUGCACCCCUUUUUAUUUUUUAAUUUUUUUUUAGCCUAAAACGAGUCUAAACUUGAAAACCUCAUAACUUUUGAACCGUGAGGAACUACGUCGCCCAUAGCACCAUUUCGGAAAGCCCCAGAAACCAUAAUGGGCGGUGAAUAGGGGGCGCAAUUUUUCGGGCUCAAAUUCAGCCGUUUUGACCCUCAAACGGGCUGCGGAAAGUUAUGGCACGUAAAAAAGAUCGAAAGCGGAUUCUCAAGGUGUUUUUGAUGCUUUCUUAACGCCGUUAACCUCGAUGCACUUUUUCGCUCGAAACAAAACGGCAAGAAAAUCAUGCGCGCCCCACGGCCUUACACUUGGAUUGGCCGCGAAAAGGAUAUAUAGAAACGAGAGUGAUGUACUGACGGGUGCGAUCAUACCAGCACUAAUGCACCGGAUCCCAUCAGAACUCCGCAGUUAAGCGUGCUUGGGCGAGAGUAGUACUAGGAUGGGUGACCUCCCGGGAAGUCCUCGUGUUGCACCCCUUUUUAUUUUUUAAUUUUUUUUUAGCCUAAAACGAGUCUAAACUUGAAAACCUCAUAACUUUUGAACCGUGAGGAACUACGUCGCCCAUAGCACCAUUUCGGAAAGCCCCAGAAACCAUAAUGGGCGGUGAAUAGGGGGCGCAAUUUUUCGGGCUCAAAUUCAGCCGUUUUGACCCUCAAACGGGCUGCGGAAAGUUAUGGCACGUAAAAAAGAUCGAAAGCGGAUUCUCAAGGUGUUUUUGAUGCUUUCUUAACGCCGUUAACCUCGAUGCACUUUUUCGCUCGAAACAAAACGGCAAGAAAAUCAUGCGCGCCCCACGGCCUUACACUUGGAUUGGCCGCGAAAAGGAUAUAUAGAAACGAGAGUGAUGUACUGACGGGUGCGAUCAUACCAGCACUAAUGCACCGGAUCCCAUCAGAACUCCGCAGUUAAGCGUGCUUGGGCGAGAGUAGUACUAGGAUGGGUGACCUCCCGGGAAGUCCUCGUGUUGCACCCCUUUUUAUUUUUUAAUUUUUUUUUAGCCUAAAACGAGUCUAAACUUGAAAACCUCAUAACUUUUGAACCGUGAGGAACUACGUCGCCCAUAGCACCAUUUCGGAAAGCCCCAGAAACCAUAAUGGGCGGUGAAUAGGGGGCGCAAUUUUUCGGGCUCAAAUUCAGCCGUUUUGACCCUCAAACGGGCUGCGGAAAGUUAUGGCACGUAAAAAAGAUCGAAAGCGGAUUCUCAAGGUGUUUUUGAUGCUUUCUUAACGCCGUUAACCUCGAUGCACUUUUUCGCUCGAAACAAAACGGCAAGAAAAUCAUGCGCGCCCCACGGCCUUACACUUGGAUUGGCCGCGAAAAGGAUAUAUAGAAACGAGAGUGAUGUACUGACGGGUGCGAUCAUACCAGCACUAAUGCACCGGAUCCCAUCAGAACUCCGCAGUUAAGCGUGCUUGGGCGAGAGUAGUACUAGGAUGGGUGACCUCCCGGGAAGUCCUCGUGUUGCACCCCUUUUUAUUUUUUAAUUUUUUUUUAGCCUAAAACGAGUCUAAACUUGAAAACCUCAUAACUUUUGAACCGUGAGGAACUACGUCGCCCAUAGCACCAUUUCGGAAAGCCCCAGAAACCAUAAUGGGCGGUGAAUAGGGGGCGCAAUUUUUCGGGCUCAAAUUCAGCCGUUUUGACCCUCAAACGGGCUGCGGAAAGUUAUGGCACGUAAAAAAGAUCGAAAGCGGAUUCUCAAGGUGUUUUUGAUGCUUUCUUAACGCCGUUAACCUCGAUGCACUUUUUCGCUCGAAACAAAACGGCAAGAAAAUCAUGCGCGCCCCACGGCCUUACACUUGGAUUGGCCGCGAAAAGGAUAUAUAGAAACGAGAGUGAUGUACUGACGGGUGCGAUCAUACCAGCACUAAUGCACCGGAUCCCAUCAGAACUCCGCAGUUAAGCGUGCUUGGGCGAGAGUAGUACUAGGAUGGGUGACCUCCCGGGAAGUCCUCGUGUUGCACCCCUUUUUAUUUUUUAAUUUUUUUUUAGCCUAAAACGAGUCUAAACUUGAAAACCUCAUAACUUUUGAACCGUGAGGAACUACGUCGCCCAUAGCACCAUUUCGGAAAGCCCCAGAAACCAUAAUGGGCGGUGAAUAGGGGGCGCAAUUUUUCGGGCUCAAAUUCAGCCGUUUUGACCCUCAAACGGGCUGCGGAAAGUUAUGGCACGUAAAAAAGAUCGAAAGCGGAUUCUCAAGGUGUUUUUGAUGCUUUCUUAACGCCGUUAACCUCGAUGCACUUUUUCGCUCGAAACAAAACGGCAAGAAAAUCAUGCGCGCCCCACGGCCUUACACUUGGAUUGGCCGCGAAAAGGAUAUAUAGAAACGAGAGUGAUGUACUGACGGGUGCGAUCAUACCAGCACUAAUGCACCGGAUCCCAUCAGAACUCCGCAGUUAAGCGUGCUUGGGCGAGAGUAGUACUAGGAUGGGUGACCUCCCGGGAAGUCCUCGUGUUGCACCCCUUUUUAUUUUUUAAUUUUUUUUUAGCCUAAAACGAGUCUAAACUUGAAAACCUCAUAACUUUUGAACCGUGAGGAACUACGUCGCCCAUAGCACCAUUUCGGAAAGCCCCAGAAACCAUAAUGGGCGGUGAAUAGGGGGCGCAAUUUUUCGGGCUCAAAUUCAGCCGUUUUGACCCUCAAACGGGCUGCGGAAAGUUAUGGCACGUAAAAAAGAUCGAAAGCGGAUUCUCAAGGUGUUUUUGAUGCUUUCUUAACGCCGUUAACCUCGAUGCACUUUUUCGCUCGAAACAAAACGGCAAGAAAAUCAUGCGCGCCCCACGGCCUUACACUUGGAUUGGCCGCGAAAAGGAUAUAUAGAAACGAGAGUGAUGUACUGACGGGUGCGAUCAUACCAGCACUAAUGCACCGGAUCCCAUCAGAACUCCGCAGUUAAGCGUGCUUGGGCGAGAGUAGUACUAGGAUGGGUGACCUCCCGGGAAGUCCUCGUGUUGCACCCCUUUUUAUUUUUUAAUUUUUUUUAGCCUAAAACGAGUCUAAACUUGAAAACCUCAUAACUUUUGAACCGUGAGGAACUACGUCGCCCAUAGCACCAUUUCGGAAAGCCCCAGAAACCAUAAUGGGCGGUGAAUAGGGGGCGCAAUUUUUCGGGCUCAAAUUCAGCCGUUUUGACCCUCAAACGGGCUGCGGAAAGUUAUGGCACGUAAAAAAGAUCGAAAGCGGAUUCUCAAGGUGUUUUUGAUGCUUUCUUAACGCCGUUAACCUCGAUGCACUUUUUCGCUCGAAACAAAACGGCAAGAAAAUCAUGCGCGCCCCACGGCCUUACACUUGGAUUGGCCGCGAAAAGGAUAUAUAGAAACGAGAGUGAUGUACUGUCGGGUGCGAUCAUACCAGCACUAAUGCACCGGAUCCCAUCAGAACUCCGCAGUUAAGCGUGCUUGGGCGAGAGUAGUACUAGGAUGGGUGACCUCCCGGGAAGUCCUCGUGUUGCACCCCUUUUUAUUUUUUAAUUUUUUUUUAGCCUAAAACGAGUCUAAACUUGAAAACCUCAUAACUUUUGAACCGUGAGGAACUACGUCGCCCAUAGCACCAUUUCGGAAAGCCCCAGAAACCAUAAUGGGCGGUGAAUAGGGGGCGCAAUUUUUCGGGCUCAAAUUCAGCCGUUUUGACCCUCAAACGGGCUGCGGAAAGUUAUGGCACGUAAAAAAGAUCGAAAGCGGAUUCUCAAGGUGUUUUUGAUGCUUUCUUAACGCCGUUAACCUCGAUGCACUUUUUCGCUCGAAACAAAACGGCAAGAAAAUCAUGCGCGCCCCACGGCCUUACACUUGGAUUGGCCGCGAAAAGGAUAUAUAGAAACGAGAGUGAUGUACUGACGGGUGCGAUCAUACCAGCACUAAUGCACCGGAUCCCAUCAGAACUCCGCAGUUAAGCGUGCUUGGGCGAGAGUAGUACUAGGAUGGGUGACCUCCCGGGAAGUCCUCGUGUUGCACCCCUUUUUAUUUUUUAAUUUUUUUUUAGCCUAAAACGAGUCUAAACUUGAAAACCUCAUAACUUUUGAACCGUGAGGAACUACGUCGCCCAUAGCACCAUUUCGGAAAGCCCCAGAAACCAUAAUGGGCGGUGAAUAGGGGGCGCAAUUUUUCGGGCUCAAAUUCAGCCGUUUUGACCCUCAAACGGGCUGCGGAAAGUUAUGGCACGUAAAAAAGAUCGAAAGCGGAUUCUCAAGGUGUUUUUGAUGCUUUCUUAACGCCGUUAACCUCGAUGCACUUUUUCGCUCGAAACAAAACGGCAAGAAAAUCAUGCGCGCCCCACGGCCUUACACUUGGAUUGGCCGCGAAAAGGAUAUAUAGAAACGAGAGUGAUGUACUGACGGGUGCGAUCAUACCAGCACUAAUGCACCGGAUCCCAUCAGAACUCCGCAGUUAAGCGUGCUUGGGCGAGAGUAGUACUAGGAUGGGUGACCUCCCGGGAAGUCCUCGUGUUGCACCCCUUUUUAUUUUUUAAUUUUUUUUUAGCCUAAAACGAGUCUAAACUUGAAAACCUCAUAACUUUUGAACCGUGAGGAACUACGUCGCCCAUAGCACCAUUUCGGAAAGCCCCAGAAACCAUAAUGGGCGGUGAAUAGGGGGCGCAAUUUUUCGGGCUCAAAUUCAGCCGUUUUGACCCUCAAACGGGCUGCGGAAAGUUAUGGCACGUAAAAAAGAUCGAAAGCGGAUUCUCAAGGUGUUUUUGAUGCUUUCUUAACGCCGUUAACCUCGAUGCACUUUUUCGCUCGAAACAAAACGGCAAGAAAAUCAUGCGCGCCCCACGGCCUUACACUUGGAUUGGCCGCGAAAAGGAUAUAUAGAAACGAGAGUGAUGUACUGUCGGGUGCGAUCAUACCAGCACUAAUGCACCGGAUCCCAUCAGAACUCCGCAGUUAAGCGUGCUUGGGCGAGAGUAGUACUAGGAUGGGUGACCUCCCGGGAAGUCCUCGUGUUGCACCCCUUUUUAUUUUUUAAUUUUUUUUUAGCCUAAAACGAGUCUAAACUUGAAAACCUCAUAACUUUUGAACCGUGAGGAACUACGUCGCCCAUAGCACCAUUUCGGAAAGCCCCAGAAACCAUAAUGGGCGGUGAAUAGGGGGCGCAAUUUUUCGGGCUCAAAUUCAGCCGUUUUGACCCUCAAACGGGCUGCGGAAAGUUAUGGCACGUAAAAAAGAUCGAAAGCGGAUUCUCAAGGUGUUUUUGAUGCUUUCUUAACGCCGUUAACCUCGAUGCACUUUUUCGCUCGAAACAAAACGGCAAGAAAAUCAUGCGCGCCCCACGGCCUUACACUUGGAUUGGCCGCGAAAAGGAUAUAUAGAAACGAGAGUGAUGUACUGUCGGGUGCGAUCAUACCAGCACUAAUGCACCGGAUCCCAUCAGAACUCCGCAGUUAAGCGUGCUUGGGCGAGAGUAGUACUAGGAUGGGUGACCUCCCGGGAAGUCCUCGUGUUGCACCCCUUUUUAUUUUUUAAUUUUUUUUUAGCCUAAAACGAGUCUAAACUUGAAAACCUCAUAACUUUUGAACCGUGAGGAACUACGUCGCCCAUAGCACCAUUUCGGAAAGCCCCAGAAACCAUAAUGGGCGGUGAAUAGGGGGCGCAAUUUUUCGGGCUCAAAUUCAGCCGUUUUGACCCUCAAACGGGCUGCGGAAAGUUAUGGCACGUAAAAAAGAUCGAAAGCGGAUUCUCAAGGUGUUUUUGAUGCUUUCUUAACGCCGUUAACCUCGAUGCACUUUUUCGCUCGAAACAAAACGGCAAGAAAAUCAUGCGCGCCCCACGGCCUUACACUUGGAUUGGCCGCGAAAAGGAUAUAUAGAAACGAGAGUGAUGUACUGACGGGUGCGAUCAUACCAGCACUAAUGCACCGGAUCCCAUCAGAACUCCGCAGUUAAGCGUGCUUGGGCGAGAGUAGUACUAGGAUGGGUGACCUCCCGGGAAGUCCUCGUGUUGCACCCCUUUUUAUUUUUUAAUUUUUUUUUAGCCUAAAACGAGUCUAAACUUGAAAACCUCAUAACUUUUGAACCGUGAGGAACUACGUCGCCCAUAGCACCAUUUCGGAAAGCCCCAGAAACCAUAAUGGGCGGUGAAUAGGGGGCGCAAUUUUUCGGGCUCAAAUUCAGCCGUUUUGACCCUCAAACGGGCUGCGGAAAGUUAUGGCACGUAAAAAAGAUCGAAAGCGGAUUCUCAAGGUGUUUUUGAUGCUUUCUUAACGCCGUUAACCUCGAUGCACUUUUUCGCUCGAAACAAAACGGCAAGAAAAUCAUGCGCGCCCCACGGCCUUACACUUGGAUUGGCCGCGAAAAGGAUAUAUAGAAACGAGAGUGAUGUACUGACGGGUGCGAUCAUACCAGCACUAAUGCACCGGAUCCCAUCAGAACUCCGCAGUUAAGCGUGCUUGGGCGAGAGUAGUACUAGGAUGGGUGACCUCCCGGGAAGUCCUCGUGUUGCACCCCUUUUUAUUUUUUAAUUUUUUUUUAGCCUAAAACGAGUCUAAACUUGAAAACCCAUAACUUUUGAACCGUGAGGAACUACGUCGCCCAUAGCACCAUUUCGGAAAGCCCCAGAAACCAUAAUGGGCGGUGAAUAGGGGGCGCAAUUUUUCGGGCUCAAAUUCAGCCGUUUUGACCCUCAAACGGGCUGCGGAAAGUUAUGGCACGUAAAAAAGAUCGAAAGCGGAUUCUCAAGGUGUUUUUGAUGCUUUCUUAACGCCGUUAACCUCGAUGCACUUUUUCGCUCGAAACAAAACGGCAAGAAAAUCAUGCGCGCCCCACGGCCUUACACUUGGAUUGGCCGCGAAAAGGAUAUAUAGAAACGAGAGUGAUGUACUGUCGGGUGCGAUCAUACCAGCACUAAUGCACCGGAUCCCAUCAGAACUCCGCAGUUAAGCGUGCUUGGGCGAGAGUAGUACUAGGAUGGGUGACCUCCCGGGAAGUCCUCGUGUUGCACCCCUUUUUAUUUUUUAAUUUUUUUUUAGCCUAAAACGAGUCUAAACUUGAAAACCUCAUAACUUUUGAACCGUGAGGAACUACGUCGCCCAUAGCACCAUUUCGGAAAGCCCCAGAAACCAUAAUGGGCGGUGAAUAGGGGGCGCAAUUUUUCGGGCUCAAAUUCAGCCGUUUUGACCCUCAAACGGGCUGCGGAAAGUUAUGGCACGUAAAAAAGAUCGAAAGCGGAUUCUCAAGGUGUUUUUGAUGCUUUCUUAACGCCGUUAACCUCGAUGCACUUUUUCGCUCGAAACAAAACGGCAAGAAAAUCAUGCGCGCCCCACGGCCUUACACUUGGAUUGGCCGCGAAAAGGAUAUAUAGAAACGAGAGUGAUGUACUGUCGGGUGCGAUCAUACCAGCACUAAUGCACCGGAUCCCAUCAGAACUCCGCAGUUAAGCGUGCUUGGGCGAGAGUAGUACUAGGAUGGGUGACCUCCCGGGAAGUCCUCGUGUUGCACCCCUUUUUAUUUUUUAAUUUUUUUUUAGCCUAAAACGAGUCUAAACUUGAAAACCUCAUAACUUUUGAACCGUGAGGAACUACGUCGCCCAUAGCACCAUUUCGGAAAGCCCCAGAAACCAUAAUGGGCGGUGAAUAGGGGGCGCAAUUUUUCGGGCUCAAAUUCAGCCGUUUUGACCCUCAAACGGGCUGCGGAAAGUUAUGGCACGUAAAAAAGAUCGAAAGCGGAUUCUCAAGGUGUUUUUGAUGCUUUCUUAACGCCGUUAACCUCGAUGCACUUUUUCGCUCGAAACAAAACGGCAAGAAAAUCAUGCGCGCCCCACGGCCUUACACUUGGAUUGGCCGCGAAAAGGAUAUAUAGAAACGAGAGUGAUGUACUGUCGGGUGCGAUCAUACCAGCACUAAUGCACCGGAUCCCAUCAGAACUCCGCAGUUAAGCGUGCUUGGGCGAGAGUAGUACUAGGAUGGGUGACCUCCCGGGAAGUCCUCGUGUUGCACCCCUUUUUAUUUUUUAAUUUUUUUUUAGCCUAAAACGAGUCUAAACUUGAAAACCUCAUAACUUUUGAACCGUGAGGAACUACGUCGCCCAUAGCACCAUUUCGGAAAGCCCCAGAAACCAUAAUGGGCGGUGAAUAGGGGGCGCAAUUUUUCGGGCUCAAAUUCAGCCGUUUUGACCCUCAAACGGGCUGCGGAAAGUUAUGGCACGUAAAAAAGAUCGAAAGCGGAUUCUCAAGGUGUUUUUGAUGCUUUCUUAACGCCGUUAACCUCGAUGCACUUUUUCGCUCGAAACAAAACGGCAAGAAAAUCAUGCGCGCCCCACGGCCUUACACUUGGAUUGGCCGCGAAAAGGAUAUAUAGAAACGAGAGUGAUGUACUGUCGGGUGCGAUCAUACCAGCACUAAUGCACCGGAUCCCAUCAGAACUCCGCAGUUAAGCGUGCUUGGGCGAGAGUAGUACUAGGAUGGGUGACCUCCCGGGAAGUCCUCGUGUUGCACCCCUUUUUAUUUUUUAAUUUUUUUUUAGCCUAAAACGAGUCUAAACUUGAAAACCUCAUAACUUUUGAACCGUGAGGAACUACGUCGCCCAUAGCACCAUUUCGGAAAGCCCCAGAAACCAUAAUGGGCGGUGAAUAGGGGGCGCAAUUUUUCGGGCUCAAAUUCAGCCGUUUUGACCCUCAAACGGGCUGCGGAAAGUUAUGGCACGUAAAAAAGAUCGAAAGCGGAUUCUCAAGGUGUUUUUGAUGCUUUCUUAACGCCGUUAACCUCGAUGCACUUUUUCGCUCGAAACAAAACGGCAAGAAAAUCAUGCGCGCCCCACGGCCUUACACUUGGAUUGGCCGCGAAAAGGAUAUAUAGAAACGAGAGUGAUGUACUGUCGGGUGCGAUCAUACCAGCACUAAUGCACCGGAUCCCAUCAGAACUCCGCAGUUAAGCGUGCUUGGGCGAGAGUAGUACUAGGAUGGGUGACCUCCCGGGAAGUCCUCGUGUUGCACCCCUUUUUAUUUUUUAAUUUUUUUUUAGCCUAAAACGAGUCUAAACUUGAAAACCUCAUAACUUUUGAACCGUGAGGAACUACGUCGCCCAUAGCACCAUUUCGGAAAGCCCCAGAAACCAUAAUGGGCGGUGAAUAGGGGGCGCAAUUUUUCGGGCUCAAAUUCAGCCGUUUUGACCCUCAAACGGGCUGCGGAAAGUUAUGGCACGUAAAAAAGAUCGAAAGCGGAUUCUCAAGGUGUUUUUGAUGCUUUCUUAACGCCGUUAACCUCGAUGCACUUUUUCGCUCGAAACAAAACGGCAAGAAAAUCAUGCGCGCCCCACGGCCUUACACUUGGAUUGGCCGCGAAAAGGAUAUAUAGAAACGAGAGUGAUGUACUGUCGGGUGCGAUCAUACCAGCACUAAUGCACCGGAUCCCAUCAGAACUCCGCAGUUAAGCGUGCUUGGGCGAGAGUAGUACUAGGAUGGGUGACCUCCCGGGAAGUCCUCGUGUUGCACCCCUUUUUAUUUUUUAAUUUUUUUUUAGCCUAAAACGAGUCUAAACUUGAAAACCUCAUAACUUUUGAACCGUGAGGAACUACGUCGCCCAUAGCACCAUUUCGGAAAGCCCCAGAAACCAUAAUGGGCGGUGAAUAGGGGGCGCAAUUUUUCGGGCUCAAAUUCAGCCGUUUUGACCCUCAAACGGGCUGCGGAAAGUUAUGGCACGUAAAAAAGAUCGAAAGCGGAUUCUCAAGGUGUUUUUGAUGCUUUCUUAACGCCGUUAACCUCGAUGCACUUUUUCGCUCGAAACAAAACGGCAAGAAAAUCAUGCGCGCCCCACGGCCUUACACUUGGAUUGGCCGCGAAAAGGAUAUAUAGAAACGAGAGUGAUGUACUGUCGGGUGCGAUCAUACCAGCACUAAUGCACCGGAUCCCAUCAGAACUCCGCAGUUAAGCGUGCUUGGGCGAGAGUAGUACUAGGAUGGGUGACCUCCCGGGAAGUCCUCGUGUUGCACCCCUUUUUAUUUUUUAAUUUUUUUUUAGCCUAAAACGAGUCUAAACUUGAAAACCUCAUAACUUUUGAACCGUGAGGAACUACGUCGCCCAUAGCACCAUUUCGGAAAGCCCCAGAAACCAUAAUGGGCGGUGAAUAGGGGGCGCAAUUUUUCGGGCUCAAAUUCAGCCGUUUUGACCCUCAAACGGGCUGCGGAAAGUUAUGGCACGUAAAAAAGAUCGAAAGCGGAUUCUCAAGGUGUUUUUGAUGCUUUCUUAACGCCGUUAACCUCGAUGCACUUUUUCGCUCGAAACAAAACGGCAAGAAAAUCAUGCGCGCCCCACGGCCUUACACUUGGAUUGGCCGCGAAAAGGAUAUAUAGAAACGAGAGUGAUGUACUGUCGGGUGCGAUCAUACCAGCACUAAUGCACCGGAUCCCAUCAGAACUCCGCAGUUAAGCGUGCUUGGGCGAGAGUAGUACUAGGAUGGGUGACCUCCCGGGAAGUCCUCGUGUUGCACCCCUUUUUAUUUUUUAAUUUUUUUUUAGCCUAAAACGAGUCUAAACUUGAAAACCCAUAACUUUUGAACCGUGAGGAACUACGUCGCCCAUAGCACCAUUUCGGAAAGCCCCAGAAACCAUAAUGGGCGGUGAAUAGGGGGCGCAAUUUUUCGGGCUCAAAUUCAGCCGUUUUGACCCUCAAACGGGCUGCGGAAAGUUAUGGCACGUAAAAAAGAUCGAAAGCGGAUUCUCAAGGUGUUUUUGAUGCUUUCUUAACGCCGUUAACCUCGAUGCACUUUUUCGCUCGAAACAAAACGGCAAGAAAAUCAUGCGCGCCCCACGGCCUUACACUUGGAUUGGCCGCGAAAAGGAUAUAUAGAAACGAGAGUGAUGUACUGUCGGGUGCGAUCAUACCAGCACUAAUGCACCGGAUCCCAUCAGAACUCCGCAGUUAAGCGUGCUUGGGCGAGAGUAGUACUAGGAUGGGUGACCUCCCGGGAAGUCCUCGUGUUGCACCCCUUUUUAUUUUUUAAUUUUUUUUUAGCCUAAAACGAGUCUAAACUUGAAAACCCAUAACUUUUGAACCGUGAGGAACUACGUCGCCCAUAGCACCAUUUCGGAAAGCCCCAGAAACCAUAAUGGGCGGUGAAUAGGGGGCGCAAUUUUUCGGGCUCAAAUUCAGCCGUUUUGACCCUCAAACGGGCUGCGGAAAGUUAUGGCACGUAAAAAAGAUCGAAAGCGGAUUCUCAAGGUGUUUUUGAUGCUUUCUUAACGCCGUUAACCUCGAUGCACUUUUUCGCUCGAAACAAAACGGCAAGAAAAUCAUGCGCGCCCCACGGCCUUACACUUGGAUUGGCCGCGAAAAGGAUAUAUAGAAACGAGAGUGAUGUACUGUCGGGUGCGAUCAUACCAGCACUAAUGCACCGGAUCCCAUCAGAACUCCGCAGUUAAGCGUGCUUGGGCGAGAGUAGUACUAGGAUGGGUGACCUCCCGGGAAGUCCUCGUGUUGCACCCCUUUUUAUUUUUUAAUUUUUUUUUAGCCUAAAACGAGUCUAAACUUGAAAACCCAUAACUUUUGAACCGUGAGGAACUACGUCGCCCAUAGCACCAUUUCGGAAAGCCCCAGAAACCAUAAUGGGCGGUGAAUAGGGGGCGCAAUUUUUCGGGCUCAAAUUCAGCCGUUUUGACCCUCAAACGGGCUGCGGAAAGUUAUGGCACGUAAAAAAGAUCGAAAGCGGAUUCUCAAGGUGUUUUUGAUGCUUUCUUAACGCCGUUAACCUCGAUGCACUUUUUCGCUCGAAACAAAACGGCAAGAAAAUCAUGCGCGCCCCACGGCCUUACACUUGGAUUGGCCGCGAAAAGGAUAUAUAGAAACGAGAGUGAUGUACUGUCGGGUGCGAUCAUACCAGCACUAAUGCACCGGAUCCCAUCAGAACUCCGCAGUUAAGCGUGCUUGGGCGAGAGUAGUACUAGGAUGGGUGACCUCCCGGGAAGUCCUCGUGUUGCACCCCUUUUUAUUUUUUAAUUUUUUUUUAGCCUAAAACGAGUCUAAACUUGAAAACCCAUAACUUUUGAACCGUGAGGAACUACGUCGCCCAUAGCACCAUUUCGGAAAGCCCCAGAAACCAUAAUGGGCGGUGAAUAGGGGGCGCAAUUUUUCGGGCUCAAAUUCAGCCGUUUUGACCCUCAAACGGGCUGCGGAAAGUUAUGGCACGUAAAAAAGAUCGAAAGCGGAUUCUCAAGGUGUUUUUGAUGCUUUCUUAACGCCGUUAACCUCGAUGCACUUUUUCGCUCGAAACAAAACGGCAAGAAAAUCAUGCGCGCCCCACGGCCUUACACUUGGAUUGGCCGCGAAAAGGAUAUAUAGAAACGAGAGUGAUGUACUGUCGGGUGCGAUCAUACCAGCACUAAUGCACCGGAUCCCAUCAGAACUCCGCAGUUAAGCGUGCUUGGGCGAGAGUAGUACUAGGAUGGGUGACCUCCCGGGAAGUCCUCGUGUUGCACCCCUUUUUAUUUUUUAAUUUUUUUUUAGCCUAAAACGAGUCUAAACUUGAAAACCCAUAACUUUUGAACCGUGAGGAACUACGUCGCCCAUAGCACCAUUUCGGAAAGCCCCAGAAACCAUAAUGGGCGGUGAAUAGGGGGCGCAAUUUUUCGGGCUCAAAUUCAGCCGUUUUGACCCUCAAACGGGCUGCGGAAAGUUAUGGCACGUAAAAAAGAUCGAAAGCGGAUUCUCAAGGUGUUUUUGAUGCUUUCUUAACGCCGUUAACCUCGAUGCACUUUUUCGCUCGAAACAAAACGGCAAGAAAAUCAUGCGCGCCCCACGGCCUUACACUUGGAUUGGCCGCGAAAAGGAUAUAUAGAAACGAGAGUGAUGUACUGUCGGGUGCGAUCAUACCAGCACUAAUGCACCGGAUCCCAUCAGAACUCCGCAGUUAAGCGUGCUUGGGCGAGAGUAGUACUAGGAUGGGUGACCUCCCGGGAAGUCCUCGUGUUGCACCCCUUUUUAUUUUUUAAUUUUUUUUUAGCCUAAAACGAGUCUAAACUUGAAAACCCAUAACUUUUGAACCGUGAGGAACUACGUCGCCCAUAGCACCAUUUCGGAAAGCCCCAGAAACCAUAAUGGGCGGUGAAUAGGGGGCGCAAUUUUUCGGGCUCAAAUUCAGCCGUUUUGACCCUCAAACGGGCUGCGGAAAGUUAUGGCACGUAAAAAAGAUCGAAAGCGGAUUCUCAAGGUGUUUUUGAUGCUUUCUUAACGCCGUUAACCUCGAUGCACUUUUUCGCUCGAAACAAAACGGCAAGAAAAUCAUGCGCGCCCCACGGCCUUACACUUGGAUUGGCCGCGAAAAGGAUAUAUAGAAACGAGAGUGAUGUACUGUCGGGUGCGAUCAUACCAGCACUAAUGCACCGGAUCCCAUCAGAACUCCGCAGUUAAGCGUGCUUGGGCGAGAGUAGUACUAGGAUGGGUGACCUCCCGGGAAGUCCUCGUGUUGCACCCCUUUUUAUUUUUUAAUUUUUUUUUAGCCUAAAACGAGUCUAAACUUGAAAACCCAUAACUUUUGAACCGUGAGGAACUACGUCGCCCAUAGCACCAUUUCGGAAAGCCCCAGAAACCAUAAUGGGCGGUGAAUAGGGGGCGCAAUUUUUCGGGCUCAAAUUCAGCCGUUUUGACCCUCAAACGGGCUGCGGAAAGUUAUGGCACGUAAAAAAGAUCGAAAGCGGAUUCUCAAGGUGUUUUUGAUGCUUUCUUAACGCCGUUAACCUCGAUGCACUUUUUCGCUCGAAACAAAACGGCAAGAAAAUCAUGCGCGCCCCACGGCCUUACACUUGGAUUGGCCGCGAAAAGGAUAUAUAGAAACGAGAGUGAUGUACUGUCGGGUGCGAUCAUACCAGCACUAAUGCACCGGAUCCCAUCAGAACUCCGCAGUUAAGCGUGCUUGGGCGAGAGUAGUACUAGGAUGGGUGACCUCCCGGGAAGUCCUCGUGUUGCACCCCUUUUUAUUUUUUAAUUUUUUUUUAGCCUAAAACGAGUCUAAACUUGAAAACCCAUAACUUUUGAACCGUGAGGAACUACGUCGCCCAUAGCACCAUUUCGGAAAGCCCCAGAAACCAUAAUGGGCGGUGAAUAGGGGGCGCAAUUUUUCGGGCUCAAAUUCAGCCGUUUUGACCCUCAAACGGGCUGCGGAAAGUUAUGGCACGUAAAAAAGAUCGAAAGCGGAUUCUCAAGGUGUUUUUGAUGCUUUCUUAACGCCGUUAACCUCGAUGCACUUUUUCGCUCGAAACAAAACGGCAAGAAAAUCAUGCGCGCCCCACGGCCUUACACUUGGAUUGGCCGCGAAAAGGAUAUAUAGAAACGAGAGUGAUGUACUGUCGGGUGCGAUCAUACCAGCACUAAUGCACCGGAUCCCAUCAGAACUCCGCAGUUAAGCGUGCUUGGGCGAGAGUAGUACUAGGAUGGGUGACCUCCCGGGAAGUCCUCGUGUUGCACCCCUUUUUAUUUUUUAAUUUUUUUUUAGCCUAAAACGAGUCUAAACUUGAAAACCCAUAACUUUUGAACCGUGAGGAACUACGUCGCCCAUAGCACCAUUUCGGAAAGCCCCAGAAACCAUAAUGGGCGGUGAAUAGGGGGCGCAAUUUUUCGGGCUCAAAUUCAGCCGUUUUGACCCUCAAACGGGCUGCGGAAAGUUAUGGCACGUAAAAAAGAUCGAAAGCGGAUUCUCAAGGUGUUUUUGAUGCUUUCUUAACGCCGUUAACCUCGAUGCACUUUUUCGCUCGAAACAAAACGGCAAGAAAAUCAUGCGCGCCCCACGGCCUUACACUUGGAUUGGCCGCGAAAAGGAUAUAUAGAAACGAGAGUGAUGUACUGUCGGGUGCGAUCAUACCAGCACUAAUGCACCGGAUCCCAUCAGAACUCCGCAGUUAAGCGUGCUUGGGCGAGAGUAGUACUAGGAUGGGUGACCUCCCGGGAAGUCCUCGUGUUGCACCCCUUUUUAUUUUUUAAUUUUUUUUUAGCCUAAAACGAGUCUAAACUUGAAAACCCAUAACUUUUGAACCGUGAGGAACUACGUCGCCCAUAGCACCAUUUCGGAAAGCCCCAGAAACCAUAAUGGGCGGUGAAUAGGGGGCGCAAUUUUUCGGGCUCAAAUUCAGCCGUUUUGACCCUCAAACGGGCUGCGGAAAGUUAUGGCACGUAAAAAAGAUCGAAAGCGGAUUCUCAAGGUGUUUUUGAUGCUUUCUUAACGCCGUUAACCUCGAUGCACUUUUUCGCUCGAAACAAAACGGCAAGAAAAUCAUGCGCGCCCCACGGCCUUACACUUGGAUUGGCCGCGAAAAGGAUAUAUAGAAACGAGAGUGAUGUACUGUCGGGUGCGAUCAUACCAGCACUAAUGCACCGGAUCCCAUCAGAACUCCGCAGUUAAGCGUGCUUGGGCGAGAGUAGUACUAGGAUGGGUGACCUCCCGGGAAGUCCUCGUGUUGCACCCCUUUUUAUUUUUUAAUUUUUUUUUAGCCUAAAACGAGUCUAAACUUGAAAACCCAUAACUUUUGAACCGUGAGGAACUACGUCGCCCAUAGCACCAUUUCGGAAAGCCCCAGAAACCAUAAUGGGCGGUGAAUAGGGGGCGCAAUUUUUCGGGCUCAAAUUCAGCCGUUUUGACCCUCAAACGGGCUGCGGAAAGUUAUGGCACGUAAAAAAGAUCGAAAGCGGAUUCUCAAGGUGUUUUUGAUGCUUUCUUAACGCCGUUAACCUCGAUGCACUUUUUCGCUCGAAACAAAACGGCAAGAAAAUCAUGCGCGCCCCACGGCCUUACACUUGGAUUGGCCGCGAAAAGGAUAUAUAGAAACGAGAGUGAUGUACUGUCGGGUGCGAUCAUACCAGCACUAAUGCACCGGAUCCCAUCAGAACUCCGCAGUUAAGCGUGCUUGGGCGAGAGUAGUACUAGGAUGGGUGACCUCCCGGGAAGUCCUCGUGUUGCACCCCUUUUUAUUUUUUAAUUUUUUUUUAGCCUAAAACGAGUCUAAACUUGAAAACCCCAUAACUUUUGAACCGUGAGGAACUACGUCGCCCAUAGCACCAUUUCGGAAAGCCCCAGAAACCAUAAUGGGCGGUGAAUAGGGGGCGCAAUUUUUCGGGCUCAAAUUCAGCCGUUUUGACCCUCAAACGGGCUGCGGAAAGUUAUGGCACGUAAAAAAGAUCGAAAGCGGAUUCUCAAGGUGUUUUUGAUGCUUUCUUAACGCCGUUAACCUCGAUGCACUUUUUCGCUCGAAACAAAACGGCAAGAAAAUCAUGCGCGCCCCACGGCCUUACACUUGGAUUGGCCGCGAAAAGGAUAUAUAGAAACGAGAGUGAUGUACUGUCGGGUGCGAUCAUACCAGCACUAAUGCACCGGAUCCCAUCAGAACUCCGCAGUUAAGCGUGCUUGGGCGAGAGUAGUACUAGGAUGGGUGACCUCCCGGGAAGUCCUCGUGUUGCACCCCUUUUUAUUUUUUAAUUUUUUUUUAGCCUAAAACGAGUCUAAACUUGAAAACCCAUAACUUUUGAACCGUGAGGAACUACGUCGCCCAUAGCACCAUUUCGGAAAGCCCCAGAAACCAUAAUGGGCGGUGAAUAGGGGGCGCAAUUUUUCGGGCUCAAAUUCAGCCGUUUUGACCCUCAAACGGGCUGCGGAAAGUUAUGGCACGUAAAAAAGAUCGAAAGCGGAUUCUCAAGGUGUUUUUGAUGCUUUCUUAACGCCGUUAACCUCGAUGCACUUUUUCGCUCGAAACAAAACGGCAAGAAAAUCAUGCGCGCCCCACGGCCUUACACUUGGAUUGGCCGCGAAAAGGAUAUAUAGAAACGAGAGUGAUGUACUGUCGGGUGCGAUCAUACCAGCACUAAUGCACCGGAUCCCAUCAGAACUCCGCAGUUAAGCGUGCUUGGGCGAGAGUAGUACUAGGAUGGGUGACCUCCCGGGAAGUCCUCGUGUUGCACCCCUUUUUAUUUUUUAAUUUUUUUUUAGCCUAAAACGAGUCUAAACUUGAAAACCCAUAACUUUUGAACCGUGAGGAACUACGUCGCCCAUAGCACCAUUUCGGAAAGCCCCAGAAACCAUAAUGGGCGGUGAAUAGGGGGCGCAAUUUUUCGGGCUCAAAUUCAGCCGUUUUGACCCUCAAACGGGCUGCGGAAAGUUAUGGCACGUAAAAAAGAUCGAAAGCGGAUUCUCAAGGUGUUUUUGAUGCUUUCUUAACGCCGUUAACCUCGAUGCACUUUUUCGCUCGAAACAAAACGGCAAGAAAAUCAUGCGCGCCCCACGGCCUUACACUUGGAUUGGCCGCGAAAAGGAUAUAUAGAAACGAGAGUGAUGUACUGUCGGGUGCGAUCAUACCAGCACUAAUGCACCGGAUCCCAUCAGAACUCCGCAGUUAAGCGUGCUUGGGCGAGAGUAGUACUAGGAUGGGUGACCUCCCGGGAAGUCCUCGUGUUGCACCCCUUUUUAUUUUUUAAUUUUUUUUUAGCCUAAAACGAGUCUAAACUUGAAAACCCCAUAACUUUUGAACCGUGAGGAACUACGUCGCCCAUAGCACCAUUUCGGAAAGCCCCAGAAACCAUAAUGGGCGGUGAAUAGGGGGCGCAAUUUUUCGGGCUCAAAUUCAGCCGUUUUGACCCUCAAACGGGCUGCGGAAAGUUAUGGCACGUAAAAAAGAUCGAAAGCGGAUUCUCAAGGUGUUUUUGAUGCUUUCUUAACGCCGUUAACCUCGAUGCACUUUUUCGCUCGAAACAAAACGGCAAGAAAAUCAUGCGCGCCCCACGGCCUUACACUUGGAUUGGCCGCGAAAAGGAUAUAUAGAAACGAGAGUGAUGUACUGUCGGGUGCGAUCAUACCAGCACUAAUGCACCGGAUCCCAUCAGAACUCCGCAGUUAAGCGUGCUUGGGCGAGAGUAGUACUAGGAUGGGUGACCUCCCGGGAAGUCCUCGUGUUGCACCCCUUUUUAUUUUUUAAUUUUUUUUUAGCCUAAAACGAGUCUAAACUUGAAAACCCCAUAACUUUUGAACCGUGAGGAACUACGUCGCCCAUAGCACCAUUUCGGAAAGCCCCAGAAACCAUAAUGGGCGGUGAAUAGGGGGCGCAAUUUUUCGGGCUCAAAUUCAGCCGUUUUGACCCUCAAACGGGCUGCGGAAAGUUAUGGCACGUAAAAAAGAUCGAAAGCGGAUUCUCAAGGUGUUUUUGAUGCUUUCUUAACGCCGUUAACCUCGAUGCACUUUUUCGCUCGAAACAAAACGGCAAGAAAAUCAUGCGCGCCCCACGGCCUUACACUUGGAUUGGCCGCGAAAAGGAUAUAUAGAAACGAGAGUGAUGUACUGUCGGGUGCGAUCAUACCAGCACUAAUGCACCGGAUCCCAUCAGAACUCCGCAGUUAAGCGUGCUUGGGCGAGAGUAGUACUAGGAUGGGUGACCUCCCGGGAAGUCCUCGUGUUGCACCCCUUUUUAUUUUUUAAUUUUUUUUUAGCCUAAAACGAGUCUAAACUUGAAAACCCAUAACUUUUGAACCGUGAGGAACUACGUCGCCCAUAGCACCAUUUCGGAAAGCCCCAGAAACCAUAAUGGGCGGUGAAUAGGGGGCGCAAUUUUUCGGGCUCAAAUUCAGCCGUUUUGACCCUCAAACGGGCUGCGGAAAGUUAUGGCACGUAAAAAAGAUCGAAAGCGGAUUCUCAAGGUGUUUUUGAUGCUUUCUUAACGCCGUUAACCUCGAUGCACUUUUUCGCUCGAAACAAAACGGCAAGAAAAUCAUGCGCGCCCCACGGCCUUACACUUGGAUUGGCCGCGAAAAGGAUAUAUAGAAACGAGAGUGAUGUACUGUCGGGUGCGAUCAUACCAGCACUAAUGCACCGGAUCCCAUCAGAACUCCGCAGUUAAGCGUGCUUGGGCGAGAGUAGUACUAGGAUGGGUGACCUCCCGGGAAGUCCUCGUGUUGCACCCCUUUUUAUUUUUUAAUUUUUUUUAGCCUAAAACGAGUCUAAACUUGAAAACCCCAUAACUUUUGAACCGUGAGGAACUACGUCGCCCAUAGCACCAUUUCGGAAAGCCCCAGAAACCAUAAUGGGCGGUGAAUAGGGGGCGCAAUUUUUCGGGCUCAAAUUCAGCCGUUUUGACCCUCAAACGGGCUGCGGAAAGUUAUGGCACGUAAAAAAGAUCGAAAGCGGAUUCUCAAGGUGUUUUUGAUGCUUUCUUAACGCCGUUAACCUCGAUGCACUUUUUCGCUCGAAACAAAACGGCAAGAAAAUCAUGCGCGCCCCACGGCCUUACACUUGGAUUGGCCGCGAAAAGGAUAUAUAGAAACGAGAGUGAUGUACUGUCGGGUGCGAUCAUACCAGCACUAAUGCACCGGAUCCCAUCAGAACUCCGCAGUUAAGCGUGCUUGGGCGAGAGUAGUACUAGGAUGGGUGACCUCCCGGGAAGUCCUCGUGUUGCACCCCUUUUUAUUUUUUAAUUUUUUUUAGCCUAAAACGAGUCUAAACUUGAAAACCCCAUAACUUUUGAACCGUGAGGAACUACGUCGCCCAUAGCACCAUUUCGGAAAGCCCCAGAAACCAUAAUGGGCGGUGAAUAGGGGGCGCAAUUUUUCGGGCUCAAAUUCAGCCGUUUUGACCCUCAAACGGGCUGCGGAAAGUUAUGGCACGUAAAAAAGAUCGAAAGCGGAUUCUCAAGGUGUUUUUGAUGCUUUCUUAACGCCGUUAACCUCGAUGCACUUUUUCGCUCGAAACAAAACGGCAAGAAAAUCAUGCGCGCCCCACGGCCUUACACUUGGAUUGGCCGCGAAAAGGAUAUAUAGAAACGAGAGUGAUGUACUGUCGGGUGCGAUCAUACCAGCACUAAUGCACCGGAUCCCAUCAGAACUCCGCAGUUAAGCGUGCUUGGGCGAGAGUAGUACUAGGAUGGGUGACCUCCCGGGAAGUCCUCGUGUUGCACCCCUUUUUAUUUUUUAAUUUUUUUUUAGCCUAAAACGAGUCUAAACUUGAAAACCCAUAACUUUUGAACCGUGAGGAACUACGUCGCCCAUAGCACCAUUUCGGAAAGCCCCAGAAACCAUAAUGGGCGGUGAAUAGGGGGCGCAAUUUUUCGGGCUCAAAUUCAGCCGUUUUGACCCUCAAACGGGCUGCGGAAAGUUAUGGCACGUAAAAAAGAUCGAAAGCGGAUUCUCAAGGUGUUUUUGAUGCUUUCUUAACGCCGUUAACCUCGAUGCACUUUUUCGCUCGAAACAAAACGGCAAGAAAAUCAUGCGCGCCCCACGGCCUUACACUUGGAUUGGCCGCGAAAAGGAUAUAUAGAAACGAGAGUGAUGUACUGUCGGGUGCGAUCAUACCAGCACUAAUGCACCGGAUCCCAUCAGAACUCCGCAGUUAAGCGUGCUUGGGCGAGAGUAGUACUAGGAUGGGUGACCUCCCGGGAAGUCCUCGUGUUGCACCCCUUUUUAUUUUUUAAUUUUUUUUAGCCUAAAACGAGUCUAAACUUGAAAACCCCAUAACUUUUGAACCGUGAGGAACUACGUCGCCCAUAGCACCAUUUCGGAAAGCCCCAGAAACCAUAAUGGGCGGUGAAUAGGGGGCGCAAUUUUUCGGGCUCAAAUUCAGCCGUUUUGACCCUCAAACGGGCUGCGGAAAGUUAUGGCACGUAAAAAAGAUCGAAAGCGGAUUCUCAAGGUGUUUUUGAUGCUUUCUUAACGCCGUUAACCUCGAUGCACUUUUUCGCUCGAAACAAAACGGCAAGAAAAUCAUGCGCGCCCCACGGCCUUACACUUGGAUUGGCCGCGAAAAGGAUAUAUAGAAACGAGAGUGAUGUACUGUCGGGUGCGAUCAUACCAGCACUAAUGCACCGGAUCCCAUCAGAACUCCGCAGUUAAGCGUGCUUGGGCGAGAGUAGUACUAGGAUGGGUGACCUCCCGGGAAGUCCUCGUGUUGCACCCCUUUUUAUUUUUUAAUUUUUUUUAGCCUAAAACGAGUCUAAACUUGAAAACCCCAUAACUUUUGAACCGUGAGGAACUACGUCGCCCAUAGCACCAUUUCGGAAAGCCCCAGAAACCAUAAUGGGCGGUGAAUAGGGGCGCAAUUUUUCGGGCUCAAAUUCAGCCGUUUUGACCCUCAAACGGGCUGCGGAAAGUUAUGGCACGUAAAAAAGAUCGAAAGCGGAUUCUCAAGGUGUUUUUGAUGCUUUCUUAACGCCGUUAACCUCGAUGCACUUUUUCGCUCGAAACAAAACGGCAAGAAAAUCAUGCGCGCCCCACGGCCUUACACUUGGAUUGGCCGCGAAAAGGAUAUAUAGAAACGAGAGUGAUGUACUGUCGGGUGCGAUCAUACCAGCACUAAUGCACCGGAUCCCAUCAGAACUCCGCAGUCGUGCUUGGGCGAGAGUAGUACUAGGAUGGGUGACCUCCCGGGAAGUCCUCGUGUUGCACCCCUUUUUAUUUUUUAUUUUUUUUUAGCCUAAAACGAGUCUAAACUUGAAAACCCAUAACUUUUGAACCGUGAGGAACUACGUCGCCCAUAGCACCAUUUCGGAAAGCCCCAGAAACCAUAAUGGGCGGUGAAUAGGGGGCGCAAUUUUUCGGGCUCAAAUUCAGCCGUUUUGACCCUCAAACGGGCUGCGGAAAGUUAUGGCACGUAAAAAAGAUCGAAAGCGGAUUCUCAAGGUGUUUUUGAUGCUUUCUUAACGCCGUUAACCUCGAUGCACUUUUUCGCUCGAAACAAAACGGCAAGAAAAUCAUGCGCGCCCCACGGCCUUACACUUGGAUUGGCCGCGAAAAGGAUAUAUAGAAACGAGAGUGAUGUACUGUCGGGUGCGAUCAUACCAGCACUAAUGCACCGGAUCCCAUCAGAACUCCGCAGUUAAGCGUGCUUGGGCGAGAGUAGUACUAGGAUGGGUGACCUCCCGGGAAGUCCUCGUGUUGCACCCCUUUUUAUUUUUUAAUUUUUUUUAGCCUAAAACGAGUCUAAACUUGAAAACCCCAUAACUUUUGAACCGUGAGGAACUACGUCGCCCAUAGCACCAUUUCGGAAAGCCCCAGAAACCAUAAUGGGCGGUGAAUAGGGGGCGCAAUUUUUCGGGCUCAAAUUCAGCCGUUUUGACCCUCAAACGGGCUGCGGAAAGUUAUGGCACGUAAAAAAGAUCGAAAGCGGAUUCUCAAGGUGUUUUUGAUGCUUUCUUAACGCCGUUAACCUCGAUGCACUUUUUCGCUCGAAACAAAACGGCAAGAAAAUCAUGCGCGCCCCACGGCCUUACACUUGGAUUGGCCGCGAAAAGGAUAUAUAGAAACGAGAGUGAUGUACUGUCGGGUGCGAUCAUACCAGCACUAAUGCACCGGAUCCCAUCAGAACUCCGCAGUUAAGCGUGCUUGGGCGAGAGUAGUACUAGGAUGGGUGACCUCCCGGGAAGUCCUCGUGUUGCACCCCUUUUUAUUUUUUAAUUUUUUUUAGCCUAAAACGAGUCUAAACUUGAAAACCCCAUAACUUUUGAACCGUGAGGAACUACGUCGCCCAUAGCACCAUUUCGGAAAGCCCCAGAAACCAUAAUGGGCGGUGAAUAGGGGGCGCAAUUUUUCGGGCUCAAAUUCAGCCGUUUUGACCCUCAAACGGGCUGCGGAAAGUUAUGGCACGUAAAAAAGAUCGAAAGCGGAUUCUCAAGGUGUUUUUGAUGCUUUCUUAACGCCGUUAACCUCGAUGCACUUUUUCGCUCGAAACAAAACGGCAAGAAAAUCAUGCGCGCCCCACGGCCUUACACUUGGAUUGGCCGCGAAAAGGAUAUAUAGAAACGAGAGUGAUGUACUGUCGGGUGCGAUCAUACCAGCACUAAUGCACCGGAUCCCAUCAGAACUCCGCAGUUAAGCGUGCUUGGGCGAGAGUAGUACUAGGAUGGGUGACCUCCCGGGAAGUCCUCGUGUUGCACCCCUUUUUAUUUUUUAAUUUUUUUUUAGCCUAAAACGAGUCUAAACUUGAAAACCCCAUAACUUUUGAACCGUGAGGAACUACGUCGCCCAUAGCACCAUUUCGGAAAGCCCCAGAAACCAUAAUGGGCGGUGAAUAGGGGGCGCAAUUUUUCGGGCUCAAAUUCAGCCGUUUUGACCCUCAAACGGGCUGCGGAAAGUUAUGGCACGUAAAAAAGAUCGAAAGCGGAUUCUCAAGGUGUUUUUGAUGCUUUCUUAACGCCGUUAACCUCGAUGCACUUUUUCGCUCGAAACAAAACGGCAAGAAAAUCAUGCGCGCCCCACGGCCUUACACUUGGAUUGGCCGCGAAAAGGAUAUAUAGAAACGAGAGUGAUGUACUGUCGGGUGCGAUCAUACCAGCACUAAUGCACCGGAUCCCAUCAGAACUCCGCAGUUAAGGGUGCUUGGGCGAGAGUAGUACUAGGAUGGGUGACCUCCCGGGAAGUCCUCGUGUUGCACCCCUUUUUAUUUUUUUUAUUUUUUUUUAGCCUAAAACGAGUCUAAACUUGAAAACCCCAUAACUUUUGAACCGUGAGGAACUACGUCGCCCAUAGCACCAUUUCGGAAAGCCCCAGAAACCAUAAUGGGCGGUGAAUAGGGGGCGCAAUUUUUCGGGCUCAAAUUCAGCCGUUUUGACCCUCAAACGGGCUGCGGAAAGUUAUGGCACGUAAAAAAGAUCGAAAGCGGAUUCUCAAGGUGUUUUUGAUGCUUUCUUAACGCCGUUAACCUCGAUGCACUUUUUCGCUCGAAACAAAACGGCAAGAAAAUCAUGCGCGCCCCACGGCCUUACACUUGGAUUGGCCGCGAAAAGGAUAUAUAGAAACGAGAGUGAUGUACUGUCGGGUGCGAUCAUACCAGCACUAAUGCACCGGAUCCCAUCAGAACUCCGCAGUUAAGCGUGCUUGGGCGAGAGUAGUACUAGGAUGGGUGACCUCCCGGGAAGUCCUCGUGUUGCACCCCUUUUUAUUUUUUAAUUUUUUUUAGCCUAAAACGAGUCUAAACUUGAAAACCCAUAACUUUUGAACCGUGAGGAACUACGUCGCCCAUAGCACCAUUUCGGAAAGCCCCAGAAACCAUAAUGGGCGGUGAAUAGGGGGCGCAAUUUUUCGGGCUCAAAUUCAGCCGUUUUGACCCUCAAACGGGCUGCGGAAAGUUAUGGCACGUAAAAAAGAUCGAAAGCGGAUUCUCAAGGUGUUUUUGAUGCUUUCUUAACGCCGUUAACCUCGAUGCACUUUUUCGCUCGAAACAAAACGGCAAGAAAAUCAUGCGCGCCCCACGGCCUUACACUUGGAUUGGCCGCGAAAAGGAUAUAUAGAAACGAGAGUGAUGUACUGUCGGGUGCGAUCAUACCAGCACUAAUGCACCGGAUCCCAUCAGAACUCCGCAGUUAAGCGUGCUUGGGCGAGAGUAGUACUAGGAUGGGUGACCUCCCGGGAAGUCCUCGUGUUGCACCCCUUUUUAUUUUUUAAUUUUUUUUAGCCUAAAACGAGUCUAAACUUGAAAACCCCAUAACUUUUGAACCGUGAGGAACUACGUCGCCCAUAGCACCAUUUCGGAAAGCCCCAGAAACCAUAAUGGGCGGUGAAUAGGGGGCGCAAUUUUUCGGGCUCAAAUUCAGCCGUUUUGACCCUCAAACGGGCUGCGGAAAGUUAUGGCACGUAAAAAAGAUCGAAAGCGGAUUCUCAAGGUGUUUUUGAUGCUUUCUUAACGCCGUUAACCUCGAUGCACUUUUUCGCUCGAAACAAAACGGCAAGAAAAUCAUGCGCGCCCCACGGCCUUACACUUGGAUUGGCCGCGAAAAGGAUAUAUAGAAACGAGAGUGAUGUACUGUCGGGUGCGAUCAUACCAGCACUAAUGCACCGGAUCCCAUCAGAACUCCGCAGUUAAGCGUGCUUGGGCGAGAGUAGUACUAGGAUGGGUGACCUCCCGGGAAGUCCUCGUGUUGCACCCCUUUUUAUUUUUUAAUUUUUUUUAGCCUAAAACGAGUCUAAACUUGAAACCCCAUAACUUUUGAACCGUGAGGAACUACGUCGCCCAUAGCACCAUUUCGGAAAGCCCCAGAAACCAUAAUGGGCGGUGAAUAGGGGGCGCAAUUUUUCGGGCUCAAAUUCAGCCGUUUUGACCCUCAAACGGGCUGCGGAAAGUUAUGGCACGUAAAAAAGAUCGAAAGCGGAUUCUCAAGGUGUUUUUGAUGCUUUCUUAACGCCGUUAACCUCGAUGCACUUUUUCGCUCGAAACAAAACGGCAAGAAAAUCAUGCGCGCCCCACGGCCUUACACUUGGAUUGGCCGCGAAAAGGAUAUAUAGAAACGAGAGUGAUGUACUGUCGGGUGCGAUCAUACCAGCACUAAUGCACCGGAUCCCAUCAGAACUCCGCAGUUAAGCGUGCUUGGGCGAGAGUAGUACUAGGAUGGGUGACCUCCCGGGAAGUCCUCGUGUUGCACCCCUUUUUAUUUUUUAAUUUUUUUUUAGCCUAAAACGAGUCUAAAAAAACAAACUAACUUUUGAACCGUGAGGAACUACGUCGCCCAUAGCACCAUUUCGGAAAGCCCCAGAAACCAUAAUGGGCGGUGAAUAGGGGGCGCAAUUUUUCGGGCUCAAAUUCAGCCGUUUUGACCCUCAAACGGGCUGCGGAAAGUUAUGGCACGUAAAAAAGAUCGAAAGCGGAUUCUCAAGGUGUUUUUGAUGCUUUCUUAACGCCGUUAACCUCGAUGCACUUUUUCGCUCGAAACAAAACGGCAAGAAAAUCAUGCGCGCCCCACGGCCUUACACUUGGAUUGGCCGCGAAAAGGAUAUAUAGAAACGAGAGUGAUGUACUGUCGGGUGCGAUCAUACCAGCACUAAUGCACCGGAUCCCAUCAGAACUCCGCAGUUAAGCGUGCUUGGGCGAGAGUAGUACUAGGAUGGGUGACCUCCCGGGAAGUCCUCGUGUUGCACCCCUUUUUAUUUUUUAAUUUUUUUUAGCCUAAAACGAGUCUAAACUUGAAAACCCAUAACUUUUGAACCGUGAGGAACUACGUCGCCCAUAGCACCAUUUCGGAAAGCCCCAGAAACCAUAAUGGGCGGUGAAUAGGGGGCGCAAUUUUUCGGGCUCAAAUUCAGCCGUUUUGACCCUCAAACGGGCUGCGGAAAGUUAUGGCACGUAAAAAAGAUCGAAAGCGGAUUCUCAAGGUGUUUUUGAUGCUUUCUUAACGCCGUUAACCUCGAUGCACUUUUUCGCUCGAAACAAAACGGCAAGAAAAUCAUGCGCGCCCCACGGCCUUACACUUGGAUUGGCCGCGAAAAGGAUAUAUAGAAACGAGAGUGAUGUACUGUCGGGUGCGAUCAUACCAGCACUAAUGCACCGGAUCCCAUCAGAACUCCGCAGUUAAGCGUGCUUGGGCGAGAGUAGUACUAGGAUGGGUGACCUCCCGGGAAGUCCUCGUGUUGCACCCCUUUUUAUUUUUAAAUUUUUUUAGCCUAAAACGAGUCUAAACUUGAAAACCCCAUAACUUUUGAACCGUGAGGAACUACGUCGCCCAUAGCACCAUUUCGGAAAGCCCCAGAAACCAUAAUGGGCGGUGAAUAGGGGGCGCAAUUUUUCGGGCUCAAAUUCAGCCGUUUUGACCCUCAAACGGGCUGCGGAAAGUUAUGGCACGUAAAAAAGAUCGAAAGCGGAUUCUCAAGGUGUUUUUGAUGCUUUCUUAACGCCGUUAACCUCGAUGCACUUUUUCGCUCGAAACAAAACGGCAAGAAAAUCAUGCGCGCCCCACGGCCUUACACUUGGAUUGGCCGCGAAAAGGAUAUAUAGAAACGAGAGUGAUGUACUGUCGGGUGCGAUCAUACCAGCACUAAUGCACCGGAUCCCAUCAGAACUCCGCAGUUAAGCGUGCUUGGGCGAGAGUAGUACUAGGAUGGGUGACCUCCCGGGAAGUCCUCGUGUUGCACCCCUUUUUAUUUUUUAAUUUUUUUUAGCCUAAAACGAGUCUAAACUUGAAAACCCCAUAACUUUUGAACCGUGAGGAACUACGUCGCCCAUAGCACCAUUUCGGAAAGCCCCAGAAACCAUAAUGGGCGGUGAAUAGGGGGCGCAAUUUUUCGGGCUCAAAUUCAGCCGUUUUGACCCUCAAACGGGCUGCGGAAAGUUAUGGCACGUAAAAAAGAUCGAAAGCGGAUUCUCAAGGUGUUUUUGAUGCUUUCUUAACGCCGUUAACCUCGAUGCACUUUUUCGCUCGAAACAAAACGGCAAGAAAAUCAUGCGCGCCCCACGGCCUUACACUUGGAUUGGCCGCGAAAAGGAUAUAUAGAAACGAGAGUGAUGUACUGUCGGGUGCGAUCAUACCAGCACUAAUGCACCGGAUCCCAUCAGAACUCCGCAGUUAAGCGUGCUUGGGCGAGAGUAGUACUAGGAUGGGUGACCUCCCGGGAAGUCCUCGUGUUGCACCCCUUUUUAUUUUUUAAUUUUUUUUAGCCUAAAACGAGUCUAAACUUGAAAACCCCAUAACUUUUGAACCGUGAGGAACUACGUCGCCCAUAGCACCAUUUCGGAAAGCCCCAGAAACCAUAAUGGGCGGUGAAUAGGGGGCGCAAUUUUUCGGGCUCAAAUUCAGCCGUUUUGACCCUCAAACGGGCUGCGGAAAGUUAUGGCACGUAAAAAAGAUCGAAAGCGGAUUCUCAAGGUGUUUUUGAUGCUUUCUUAACGCCGUUAACCUCGAUGCACUUUUUCGCUCGAAACAAAACGGCAAGAAAAUCAUGCGCGCCCCACGGCCUUACACUUGGAUUGGCCGCGAAAAGGAUAUAUAGAAACGAGAGUGAUGUACUGUCGGGUGCGAUCAUACCAGCACUAAUGCACCGGAUCCCAUCAGAACUCCGCAGUUAAGCGUGCUUGGGCGAGAGUAGUACUAGGAUGGGUGACCUCCCGGGAAGUCCUCGUGUUGCACCCCUUUUUAUUUUUUAAUUUUUUUUUAGCCUAAAACGAGUCUAAACUUGAAAACCCCAUAACUUUUGAACCGUGAGGAACUACGUCGCCCAUAGCACCAUUUCGGAAAGCCCCAGAAACCAUAAUGGGCGGUGAAUAGGGGGCGCAAUUUUUCGGGCUCAAAUUCAGCCGUUUUGACCCUCAAACGGGCUGCGGAAAGUUAUGGCACGUAAAAAAGAUCGAAAGCGGAUUCUCAAGGUGUUUUUGAUGCUUUCUUAACGCCGUUAACCUCGAUGCACUUUUUCGCUCGAAACAAAACGGCAAGAAAAUCAUGCGCGCCCCACGGCCUUACACUUGGAUUGGCCGCGAAAAGGAUAUAUAGAAACGAGAGUGAUGUACUGUCGGGUGCGAUCAUACCAGCACUAAUGCACCGGAUCCCAUCAGAACUCCGCAGUUAAGCGUGCUUGGGCGAGAGUAGUACUAGGAUGGGUGACCUCCCGGGAAGUCCUCGUGUUGCACCCCUUUUUAUUUUUUAAUUUUUUUUUAGCCUAAAACGAGUCUAAACUUGAAAACCCCAUAACUUUUGAACCGUGAGGAACUACGUCGCCCAUAGCACCAUUUCGGAAAGCCCCAGAAACCAUAAUGGGCGGUGAAUAGGGGGCGCAAUUUUUCGGGCUCAAAUUCAGCCGUUUUGACCCUCAAACGGGCUGCGGAAAGUUAUGGCACGUAAAAAAGAUCGAAAGCGGAUUCUCAAGGUGUUUUUGAUGCUUUCUUAACGCCGUUAACCUCGAUGCACUUUUUCGCUCGAAACAAAACGGCAAGAAAAUCAUGCGCGCCCCACGGCCUUACACUUGGAUUGGCCGCGAAAAGGAUAUAUAGAAACGAGAGUGAUGUACUGUCGGGUGCGAUCAUACCAGCACUAAUGCACCGGAUCCCAUCAGAACUCCGCAGUUAAGCGUGCUUGGGCGAGAGUAGUACUAGGAUGGGUGACCUCCCGGGAAGUCCUCGUGUUGCACCCCUUUUUAUUUUUUAAUUUUUUUUUAGCCUAAAACGAGUCUAAACUUGAAAACCCCAUAACUUUUGAACCGUGAGGAACUACGUCGCCCAUAGCACCAUUUCGGAAAGCCCCAGAAACCAUAAUGGGCGGUGAAUAGGGGGCGCAAUUUUUCGGGCUCAAAUUCAGCCGUUUUGACCCUCAAACGGGCUGCGGAAAGUUAUGGCACGUAAAAAAGAUCGAAAGCGGAUUCUCAAGGUGUUUUUGAUGCUUUCUUAACGCCGUUAACCUCGAUGCACUUUUUCGCUCGAAACAAAACGGCAAGAAAAUCAUGCGCGCCCCACGGCCUUACACUUGGAUUGGCCGCGAAAAGGAUAUAUAGAAACGAGAGUGAUGUACUGUCGGGUGCGAUCAUACCAGCACUAAUGCACCGGAUCCCAUCAGAACUCCGCAGUUAAGCGUGCUUGGGCGAGAGUAGUACUAGGAUGGGUGACCUCCCGGGAAGUCCUCGUGUUGCACCCCUUUUUAUUUUUUAAUUUUUUUUAGCCUAAAACGAGUCUAAACUUGAAAACCCCAUAACUUUUGAACCGUGAGGAACUACGUCGCCCAUAGCACCAUUUCGGAAAGCCCCAGAAACCAUAAUGGGCGGUGAAUAGGGGGCGCAAUUUUUCGGGCUCAAAUUCAGCCGUUUUGACCCUCAAACGGGCUGCGGAAAGUUAUGGCACGUAAAAAAGAUCGAAAGCGGAUUCUCAAGGUGUUUUUGAUGCUUUCUUAACGCCGUUAACCUCGAUGCACUUUUUCGCUCGAAACAAAACGGCAAGAAAAUCAUGCGCGCCCCACGGCCUUACACUUGGAUUGGCCGCGAAAAGGAUAUAUAGAAACGAGAGUGAUGUACUGUCGGGUGCGAUCAUACCAGCACUAAUGCACCGGAUCCCAUCAGAACUCCGCAGUUAAGCGUGCUUGGGCGAGAGUAGUACUAGGAUGGGUGACCUCCCGGGAAGUCCUCGUGUUGCACCCCUUUUUAUUUUUUAAUUUUUUUUAGCCUAAAACGAGUCUAAACUUGAAAACCCCAUAACUUUUGAACCGUGAGGAACUACGUCGCCCAUAGCACCAUUUCGGAAAGCCCCAGAAACCAUAAUGGGCGGUGAAUAGGGGGCGCAAUUUUUCGGGCUCAAAUUCAGCCGUUUUGACCCUCAAACGGGCUGCGGAAAGUUAUGGCACGUAAAAAAGAUCGAAAGCGGAUUCUCAAGGUGUUUUUGAUGCUUUCUUAACGCCGUUAACCUCGAUGCACUUUUUCGCUCGAAACAAAACGGCAAGAAAAUCAUGCGCGCCCCACGGCCUUACACUUGGAUUGGCCGCGAAAAGGAUAUAUAGAAACGAGAGUGAUGUACUGUCGGGUGCGAUCAUACCAGCACUAAUGCACCGGAUCCCAUCAGAACUCCGCAGUUAAGCGUGCUUGGGCGAGAGUAGUACUAGGAUGGGUGACCUCCCGGGAAGUCCUCGUGUUGCACCCCUUUUUAUUUUUUAAUUUUUUUUUAGCCUAAAACGAGUCUAAACUUGAAAACCCCAUAACUUUUGAACCGUGAGGAACUACGUCGCCCAUAGCACCAUUUCGGAAAGCCCCAGAAACCAUAAUGGGCGGUGAAUAGGGGGCGCAAUUUUUCGGGCUCAAAUUCAGCCGUUUUGACCCUCAAACGGGCUGCGGAAAGUUAUGGCACGUAAAAAAGAUCGAAAGCGGAUUCUCAAGGUGUUUUUGAUGCUUUCUUAACGCCGUUAACCUCGAUGCACUUUUUCGCUCGAAACAAAACGGCAAGAAAAUCAUGCGCGCCCCACGGCCUUACACUUGGAUUGGCCGCGAAAAGGAUAUAUAGAAACGAGAGUGAUGUACUGUCGGGUGCGAUCAUACCAGCACUAAUGCACCGGAUCCCAUCAGAACUCCGCAGUUAAGCGUGCUUGGGCGAGAGUAGUACUAGGAUGGGUGACCUCCCGGGAAGUCCUCGUGUUGCACCCCUUUUUAUUUUUUAAUUUUUUUUAGCCUAAAACGAGUCUAAACUUGAAAACCUCAUAACUUUUGAACCGUGAGGAACUACGUCGCCCAUAGCACCAUUUCGGAAAGCCCCAGAAACCAUAAUGGGCGGUGAAUAGGGGGCGCAAUUUUUCGGGCUCAAAUUCAGCCGUUUUGACCCUCAAACGGGCUGCGGAAAGUUAUGGCACGUAAAAAAGAUCGAAAGCGGAUUCUCAAGGUGUUUUUGAUGCUUUCUUAACGCCGUUAACCUCGAUGCACUUUUUCGCUCGAAACAAAACGGCAAGAAAAUCAUGCGCGCCCCACGGCCUUACACUUGGAUUGGCCGCGAAAAGGAUAUAUAGAAACGAGAGUGAUGUACUGUCGGGUGCGAUCAUACCAGCACUAAUGCACCGGAUCCCAUCAGAACUCCGCAGUUAAGCGUGCUUGGGCGAGAGUAGUACUAGGAUGGGUGACCUCCCGGGAAGUCCUCGUGUUGCACCCCUUUUUAUUUUUUUUUUUUUUUAGCCUAAAACGAGUCUAAACUUGAAAACCCCAUAACUUUUGAACCGUGAGGAACUACGUCGCCCAUAGCACCAUUUCGGAAAGCCCCAGAAACCAUAAUGGGCGGUGAAUAGGGGGCGCAAUUUUUCGGGCUCAAAUUCAGCCGUUUUGACCCUCAAACGGGCUGCGGAAAGUUAUGGCACGUAAAAAAGAUCGAAAGCGGAUUCUCAAGGUGUUUUUGAUGCUUUCUUAACGCCGUUAACCUCGAUGCACUUUUUCGCUCGAAACAAAACGGCAAGAAAAUCAUGCGCGCCCCACGGCCUUACACUUGGAUUGGCCGCGAAAAGGAUAUAUAGAAACGAGAGUGAUGUACUGUCGGGUGCGAUCAUACCAGCACUAAUGCACCGGAUCCCAUCAGAACUCCGCAGUUAAGCGUGCUUGGGCGAGAGUAGUACUAGGAUGGGUGACCUCCCGGGAAGUCCUCGUGUUGCACCCCUUUUUAUUUUUUAAUUUUUUUUUAGCCUAAAACGAGUCUAAACUUGAAAACCCCAUAACUUUUGAACCGUGAGGAACUACGUCGCCCAUAGCACCAUUUCGAAAGCCCCAGAAACCAUAAUGGGCGGUGAAUAGGGGGCGCAAUUUUUCGGGCUCAAAUUCAGCCGUUUUGACCCUCAAACGGGCUGCGGAAAGUUAUGGCACGUAAAAAAGAUCGAAAGCGGAUUUUCAAGGUGUUUUUGAUGCUUUCUUAACGCCGUUAACCUCGAUGCACUUUUUCGCUCGAAACAAAACGGCAAGAAAAUCAUGCGCGCCCCACGGCCUUACACUUGGAUUGGCCGCGAAAAGGAUAUAUAGAAACGAGAGUGAUGUAC